This 51555-nucleotide long non-coding RNA is filed under the name Citrus maxima (pomelo). RNAcentral describes it as "long non-coding RNA (CMAX_LNC003698)". The record is from RNAcentral. Lineage: Eukaryota; Viridiplantae; Streptophyta; Magnoliopsida; Sapindales; Rutaceae.
AGACAAAUCGAGUCCCUUAUUUUAUUAUUCAUAUCCAUAAAAAGUAACCACUAUGCUAGUCCCCCGAACUUAGCAUAAGACGGUAAUUUAAAAAAAGAAAAAAAAAAGAACGUUUCUAGACACCAAAACGAAAGCAAAACAAACACAAAGCGAGACAUACAAACAAAUUUUAUGCUACUGCAUUCAAGCAGAAGCCAUCAACUGUUCACGACGAAGUUUGAGAGCAACCAAUAGUUCAUCCCGAUUAGGAAGAUUUUCUUCAAUCACAGGGACUUGCUUGAAAGUUUCAAUCCAGGCAUGCAAGUGAGGGAAUUUGUGUGAUUCAAAUAGUUUAGCGCCCACUAUAUCUUCAAUGACUUGCAACCAAUAAACAAUUGAACCAAACGCUAGGUCCACUAAGCCAAUAUUGUCUCCAUUGAAAAAUUUCUUCUCUCCCAAGCCAUGCUCUUCAACUGUUUGUAGCAUUUCCAAGGCUUCCUUCAUUGUGUUUUGUAGUUCUUGUCCAGUGCUACGAAACAUUUUCCAAACAGCAACACCCUGCCACAAAUAUUUUACAUCUGAUUUUAUCACCGACAUGAUUAAUUAAUAAUAUGUAUAUAAAAGUAAAAAAUCGUUGGACGAUAUGUACACGUGUCACAAUAUCCUUUAAUUAGAGGUUUAAUAAGUUAAUUAAGAGAGUUCAACCACUGAGUUGUAAAAUCCUUUAAUUCACUUUCUCUCAAUGCUUCAAAAAUCAUCAAAAUUCCCCGUGAAGUUAAAAACGGUUGUGUUAACUUUAACUUAUUACAUCUUUUCAUAUUGAAGGAUAAAACAGUGAAGACACCAGAAAUUGAAAGUUUAGAGAACUUUUUACAAAUAAAUAUGAAGGAGACCCCUGGGUGGCUGGGCUCGACUGGCUAUGAAUUCACUUCCGCCAUCACCCGAGUUUGAGUAUAUAUGGAGAGUAAGAGUUAGUGUUUGGUGGGUGGAUUUCGUUAUCCUCGUCACCUCAUCUAGAUCUUAAAGUAAAUAAAUAAAUAAACACAUUUGAAAAGAAUGAACUUAAUCAUAAACGUGUUUGCCAGAGUUGUGAGCGAACCUUGUCUUCGGCGAAUUUAAUCCAGAAUCGAGCAAGAGCUCUAUCAUAAGGAUUAUUUGGCAUCAAGGGAUUCUGUGGCCACGUCUCUUCGAUGUAUUCGAGAAUAACCAUGGACUCACAAACUGGUUUUCCGCCAUGGACAAGCACUGGGAUCUUCUUGUGAACCGGAUUGUGCUUCAAAAGCAAAGCACUUUUGUUUGAGAGAUCUUCUGCAACAAAUUCAUAUGGCACGCCUUUCAAUUUCAGAGCCCAAAUUACCCUGUAAACAAAUGGACUCAGCAGGGUUCCAUGAAGCUUCACUUCAGCCAUGAUAAUUCUAAGAUUGAAUUUGAAUUAUCGGUUUUUGUGAUCGAUGUUGUGUAUGGCUGUUAACUCAUUACAUAUGUUUCUGAAUUUAUAGUGAUUUAUGGUAUGCACUUUCUUGAGCAGAAAGCUUCAAUUUUCCAUUAAUAAAACGAUUAAUGAUGAAUUCAAAGAACUGGUGCGAUGACUUUAAUUAAAUAUUUUUUUACGCUGUGUGCAACCGCAUUUUGAGGUUAAUUUAAAGGAUAUUAUUUUCUCCUGAUCAAAACUUUUAUAUAAAAAAAUAAUUAUGUGAUUGGUAGUUAUUAAGUAAAAAUAAAAUAAAAAAUAAAUUUUGAACGUAAAUAAAUAAAAAUCAUAUAUGUUAUAAAGAUUUUUUAAAACUCAAAUAAGUGCACCCAAUUCCUAAUUUAAAACGCUAGCCAAUGAGAUCAAUAAUUUGGUCAACCAGUCAGAGAUAACCAUACAAUAAUUAAUCAAAAAUUUGCCAUUUGUUUUACAUUUAAGACCUUUGCGUCAUGCAUGAUGAUCAAUUGAUCAUGACAUGGAUCAAUUAGUCAACAAGACAUUUGCCUUUUGUGCAUGUAUCCACAUUGGACACAAAUAUAAUUUGUUAUAAAAAAAUUGGACUAAAUUAUUUUUUAAUAUAUUUUUUUAAAAUAAUACAUCUGAUCCUAGAGGGCCUGUUAUUUAGUUCGUAAAUCUUAUAACAGGACCCAUGAUUUUUUUUUUUUUUAAAAUCUUAUGGGUCCCCUAUUAUUUAAUUUGUGGAAUUGACGGAGGUAACUUACAAUUUCAUUUUUGUAAUUUACAGCUUUCAAUAAAUUCAGAUAAUAUUAGGCGGUAAAAGUCGGCCAAGCUGGAGGAGUAGAUCUAUAAAAUUUGCUAGCACUUUGCACUAUCUGUUUGGUGCCCAGAAACACACAUAUAUAUCAUCCACUUUUUAUUUAACGCUGGGUUUUUUUCGACCCAUAAUAAUUUCUCUUUCCACAUCAACUUUUUAAUAAAAACUUUUAUUGUCAAGAUAAAUUGUUAGUAAUUACUUCACUAAUCCUCCCUUUUUUUUGGGCCAAUUUCUCUUUCGCAACUGACAAAAUUUAAUUCACAUCAUGUGAUAGUAUGAUUGCAAAUAAAUUUGAAGUUAUCUCUCGCAAGUUAUUCAAAAAUACAUUGACAUAUCUUGUGUAUAGAACUAAAGAACAAUAGCAAAACCAAUAUCCUUUAGCCGAUCGCUGCUAUUAGGACGGCAAAAUUAGUAGUAAAUAUGUAAAUUUGUCUAAACCCAUCUACAAAAUUCUGUCCACUGCGAAUAAUUUUGUAGGUUGCGGAUAAGUUUGAUAUUUUAAAUUUAAGUUCGUUGCAGAUUACGGAUGGAUUCAAUAUUGAGAAAAAAAUUGGCGGGUGUCUGCCGCUAGCAUUUUUUUAAUUAUUUAUGUUUUUAAUUUUAAUCACAAAGAUUGUCUUAAAAAAAAUUUAAUCAUAAAAAUAUAAUAGUUAAAGAUAUUACUCUAAUCUUCCAAAUUCCUAAACCUAACCUAACUCAUGACAGUUGCACACCCUACUCCUUCAAGUAUGUAUGUAUGUAAAUGUAUACACACGCCCACACACACAAAAUUAGCUUUUAAUAAGUAGAUUUAGUAUUUUUCAAGUUUAAUAUUAAUGAUAUUUUAAUUUAAUUUAAUUACUUUUGUUUGUUUCGCUUUAAUGACUUGAACUUAGUAAUUGCUGGCUAAGAUUGGAUUUUUAUUUAUCUAAUUAAUGGUCAAUAGUUGUCCAAAAUAUAUUUGUUAAUAUUGUUGACAAUACUUAUAUAUUGACUGAAAGAUAGAGCAAGGCAUUAAUUUUAGUAAUAAUUAUUUGCCUACAACAAAAAUAUUUUGUGUUAGAAUGAUAUAUUUUGUGUAUUUGUUUUAAUAUUGAAACUUUAAUUUCUCUUUUAUAUUGAUAAAAUCUAAAGUUGAGUAGUUUAUGUAGAUUUUUUAGUCUGUUACUAUAAAGUUAUAUUUUGAAUUAUAUAAUUUAAAUUAUUAAAUAUAAUUUUUUAAUAUUUAUAAUUUUAAAUAAAAAAAUUUAUUAAAAAAAAAAACUACUACAUGUUAUGGGUGGAUUUGCUAAUUAUUAAAAAUUAUAGCGAACAAACUAAAGAAAAAAAGAGGCAACCGGUUACGGGCGAAUUUAAUAAUGACAAACCCAUAAUAAGCAAUACCAUUACCAUCGGCAGCUUCUAUAACGCAGGGCCGGCGGCGGUCUUGAAUUGUUAGAAGUUGCAACAUUAAUUAGCAAAAUUUUCUGCGUCAUCCCUGAAGUAUAGCAUAGAAUUAGAUAUAUCCCCUUGUUUUCAAAAUUAGUCUCUUAUUCCCAUAUGUUGUUUACUUAAUUUUUUUUUUCAUUUCAAUUGGAUUUAUAACUUCGUAAUGUUGCGCCUUGUAAAAUGUAUGCUUAAAACGCGUGCUUCUUAUUUUUUAUAUACUGCUAAGAGAAUUUGAGAAUAGAAAUAUAUAAAAUGGUGUCUCAUUUAUUAAUUAUUUAUAUCCUCUAAAUAGCACCUAACAUGCAAGCUCACUUCAAUAGCAAAAUUAAUUAAACAAAAAAAAAAAAAAGCAUUUUUAACACCAGUACAAAAACAUAACGAGUGUAAAGGAAGACUCAUUAACUUAUUUUAUGAUAUUAAAUUCACGCAGAUACCAUCAAUGUUUCUCGACCACGUUUGAAAGAGACCACCAACUCACGCUGAUUUGGAAGAUUUUCUUUAAGUAUAUAAGUGAAAAUUAUUACUCUAGUCUUCAAAAUUCUUAAACCUAAUCUAAGUCAUUACAGCCGCAUGCCUUGCUCCUUUUAUUAUAUGUAUAUAUUUUACGAUGAAUACAAUAACUUUCAAUAAGAAGAAUUUUAUACUUUUCAAGCUUAAUAUUAAUGAUAAUUUAAUUUAUUUUAUUUUAAUUACUUUGAAUUGUUUUUGUUUAAUGACCUGAACAUAUUGGUUGUUUGCUAAAGUUGAAUUUUUAUUUGUCUAAUUAAUUGACGAUAGCAAUUGUAUAAAAUUUACUUAAAAAGAUAAAAUCUUAGUAGAUUACAGAAAGAUUUAGUAAUGACAAACAUGUAGCAGCCAAUACACAUUACCAUCCCCAACUGCUAUAAUGCAGGGCCAUGGGCAGUCUUAAUUGUUAGAAUGUGCAAAAUUAAUUAGUAAAAUGUUCAGCGGUAUCCUUGAAUUUUGGCAUAGAAUUAGAUAUAUCCCCUAGUUUUCAAAAUUAGUUUUUGAUUCCCCUGUUGUUUACUUUAUAUAUAUAUAUAUAUAUAUAUAUAGUAGUUUUAUGGUCAGGGAUUUUAAAGUGCGGGAAAGUCCGGGAAAACUUUAAAACCGCAUGGUUUUCAAGGUUUAAAACUGUAAGUCUUUAAAACCAUGCGGUUUUAAAGGUUUCCUGCACUUUCCCGUACUUUAAAAUUCCGGACUGAAACAUAUUUAUAUAUAUAUAUAUAUAUAUAUAUAUAUAUAUAUAUAUAUAUAUAUAUAUAUAUUUCACUUGGAUAUAUAACUUUGUAAUGUUGCGCCUUAUAAAAUGUAUGCUUAAAAUGCAUGCUUAUUACUUUUUAUAUGCUGUUAAGAGAAAUUGAGAAUAGAAAUAUGUAAAAUGGAGUUUCAUUUAUUAAUUAUUUAUAUCCAUUAAAUAGCACCCAACAUGUAGUUCGUCUCAAUAGUAAAAUUAAUUAAACGAAGCAAAAAGAUUUUUUUUAGCAUCAGUACAAAAAUAAAAAAAAGCACAAAGCGAGAAUCACAAACUUAUUUUAUGAUAUUACAUUCACGCAGAUGUCACCAAUAUUUCCCGACGACGUUUGAAAGCGAUCACCAUCUCAUGCUGAUUUGGAAGAUUUUCUUCAAUUACAGGGACUUUCCUGAAAUUUUCAAACCACUCAUGCAAGCUUGGGAAUUUGUGAGAUUCAAAUAGUUUCACUCCCAUUACAUCUUCAAGGACAUGCAGCCAAUAAGCAAUGGCUUCAAAUGCUAGGUCCGCUAAGCCAAUAUUGUCUCCAUUGAAAAAUUUCUUCUCUCCUAGGCCAUGUUUUUCAACGGUUUGAAGCAUUUCCAAGGCUGCCUUCAUUGCAUUCUCCAGGUCUUGUCCAGUGCUGAAAAACAUUUUCCAAACAGCUACUCCCUGCCACAAGAUUUUAUAUCUAAUUCUUAUCACCACAUGAUUAACAAAAGAAAUUAGAUAAUAUGUACACACGCGUCAAAAUAUCUUUUCAAGGCUAGACGUUUCAAACUGUCAAAGUAUUUAGGAGAGUUUAUCCACUAAUUUUUAGACUAGUUUAGUAUAACUUUUCAAAGCUUAUUUAAAUAGAAUUUUUAUUAGUAAAACUUUAAUUUUUAUAAAAAAAAUUAAUUAUUUAAUUGUUAAUGAAAUUUAAAAAAAAUUUGAAAUUACUUUAACAGAUAAAUUUUUAAAGUUAUGUUACGAAAUAAAUAAAAUAAGAUUAUAAAAUAAAUGAUGAACAUUUUAAACAAUUUAACUUUUAAAAAAAAUUCCUCAAACCUCUAUUUCCAAAAGUUUAAAUUUAAACUUUUACUAGUAUAGGCAAAAGAAUUUAUUUAAUCCCAAAAUGUUCUACUAAAAAUAAAACUAAACAAUAAUAAAAAAUUUAAAAAGAGUUUUUUUUUUAUUAAAUAAACACUUAUGAGUAAUAAAUAAGCCACAUCAAACAAAUACUCAAUGAUAUAAAAGGAAGAAGAUAAAAAAAAAAAUCCUCUUAUUAUUUUAGUAAAUUAUAAUUUUGCUUUCAUGUUUCAAAAGACCUUAAAAUUCUCCCUAUCGCUAAAACAAUUAUAUUUUAAUAUUUUACCCUUGAUGUGGUAAAAUCCACGAUUAAUUAAGAAAAAUUUCUAAAGGUAAAAAAUUUAAAGUAAUUAACCGCAUUUUUUUGAUAACUUUCUCUAAUGUAAAAUAAAAGGCUCAUUGAGCUUAGUCGGCCGUGAAUGCAUUUUGCACAUGCGAGGACAUUAGUUUGAGCAUUAAUAGAAGAUAAAAAUUAAUGUUUAGAGAGUCAUAUUUCUCAUAUACAAUGAAAAAUUAAAGUAUAUAAAGAAAUCCGACAAGAUUAAUUAAAUUUACAAACGUGUUAGCAAGAAAAGUUGUGGUGCGAACCUUGUCUUCGGCAAAUUUAAUCCAAAAACGAGCUUGAGCUCUAUCAUAAGGAUCACUUGGCAUCAAGGAGGGAUUCUGUGGCCACAUCUCUUCAAUGUAUUCGAGAAUAACCAUGGACUCGCAAACUGGUUUUUCGCCAUGAACGAGCACUGGUAUCAUCUUGUGAACUGGAUUAUACUUCAGAAGCGAAGCACUUUUGUUGUAGAGAUCUUCUUCAAUGUAUUCAUACGGGAUGCCUUUCAAUUUCAGAGCCCAUACCACCUUGUUGCUAAAUGGACUCGCCCAUCCCCCGUGGAGCUUCACUUCAGCCAUGUGUCUAAGAUCGAAUUUGAAUAUGUUUGCGGUUGUUUUGCUUAGCUGAUGAGUUAUUGCAUACGUACAUCUGAAUUUAUAAUGAUUAUUCAUUAAUAUUGGAAUAUGGAGUGCGCUUGCUUGAGCAGGGAGCUUCAUAUUUCCAAUUUAUUUAAUAAAACGAUUAAAUUAAGUUGAAUUCAAUGAACUAAUGCUGCGACUUUUUAACAAUUCUGUUAUAUAUUCAACGAGAAGAGGUAUCGUAUUUGACGGGAAUCUCUUGAAACAGUGCUGAAUGAACAAGUAAUCUUAUUUAAUUUGGUCAACUGGUCAGAUAUGGCUUAAUUAUAUAUUUGGCGUUUGUUUUAGGUGCCCAGCUAGCCCUGCUGCUGUGCUUUUGACUUUACCAUGGGGUGGAGUCGUGGAGAUAUCAUCAUCCCAACUGAAGACAUAUUAUGAUAUUCUCCUGAAAACUUUGUGAGACUCAUUUACUCUACAAUUUUAGCAUUUUAGGCCAAAUAACUUCAUAUAAAUGACGUUUUGUCCCCCGGCUCCAUCUCUUCUAUAUAAAUCCGAACACCUGAAAAAUGACGAGACCGGAACAACUCUCCCUCUUAAGUCUAUGCAAAUUUUACACACCAGAGAAAGAGAGGGAGAGGGGCAGCCAUGAGAGACAACGAUACAGAAAAGAAUAUGGAAGAGAGUUUAUUAAUACCAAAAGAGAGUUUAUCAUCAACAUCCACAACAUGGGAUUUGUUGAGUGGAGAAGUGAAAAAGCAGGGUUACAUAGCAGCACCAAUGGUGGCAGUAACUUUAUCACAGUAUUUGCUUCAAGUUGUUUCCAUGAUGAUGGUUGGUUAUCUUGGUCAACUUGCUCUUUCUAGCACCGCCAUGGCCAUCUCUCUAGCUAGCGUCACCGGCUUCAGCGUCCUUGUGAGUCCUACAAUCCAUAUAUAGUUAUAUACACAAGAUUGUUUAUUCUUUCUUUUGAUAGGUAUUUGCAUCAUUGCAUGUGGGAUUUAAACAAAUAGAUGUGCCAAAUUUCUGAUGUUAAAAAACAUGCAAUUAACUAAUACCCUGUUUUUAAAAAUGCCAUUAAUUUUUAAAGGACUUGAUUUGCUCUUUUUUUUUUAAAAAAAAAAAUUCUACAGCUAACUUGAAUUGUGUAAUAUUUUCUUUGAAACAGUUAGGAAUGGCAAGUGCUCUGGAAACAUUAUGUGGGCAAGCAUAUGGAGCUCAGCAAUAUCAAAGAAUUGGAACUCAAAUUUACACUGCAAUAUUUUGUUUAUUCUUAGUAUGUUUUCCGCUUUCCUUUCUAGGGAUUUACAUGGGAAGGCUGCUAGUUUUGGUAGGCCAAGACCCCCAGAUUUCACACGAAGUAGGCAAGUUUAUAAUCUGGCUUCUUCCAGCUCUGUUUGCUUAUGCAGCAAUGCAGGCGCUUAUUCGAUAUUUUCAGUCUCAAAGUUUGAUCAUUCCCAUGUUCUUAAGCUCCUAUGCCGCUCUUUGUUUGCAUAUUCCCAUCUGUUGGGGUUUGGUAUUCAAGUCUGGACUGGGAAACCUUGGAAUUCGAGAGUUCUUCCAAUUUGCUAUCCCUUCUGCAGUAAUGGUUUGGUAUGUUAAUUAUCUUCUGGAGUUUCAUUUUCCCUUCUCAUAGAUAUCGUAGACACGUCAUAAAUUUUCAUGCAUCUUCUUUUGUUUAUAAUUUUGCAGCCUAGAAUGGUGGUCGUUUGAAUUGCUCAUUUUAAUGUCAGGGCUGUUGCCUAACCCACAGCUUGAAACUUCAGUCCUAUCUGUAUGGUAUGUUGACAUAUCUUUGUAUGUCAAAGUUCUAUACAGAGAAGCACCUACCAAAAGGAAAUAUAUUUUUUUUCUUUUUUUCCCCGACUGCUCAUUAUUUGUCAACUUCUUUGGGCAGUCUCAGUACUAUUCAAACCCUCUCUGCAAUCCCAUAUGGACUUGGUGCUGCAGUGAGGUUUGUUCAUAACAAUCAUUUAAAUAAUAAUUGUUUUAUAUCAACUAAUUAGCAGAUUAACCAUUAUUUCCUUCUAUAGUACUAGAGUUUCAAAUGAACUAGGAGCUGGGAAUGUGCAAAGAGCCCGUGUAGCUGUCUAUGCUGUGGUCUUUAUGGCGGUCAUGGAGACUAUCAUAGUAAGUGCAUCUCUCUUUGCCAGCCGGCGUGUUUUUGGUUAUGUUUUCAGCAAUGAGGGACAAGUUGUGGAUUAUGUCACAACCAUGGCUCCUCUGGUUUGUUUGUCUGUCAUCAUGGAUAGCUUACAAGGAGUCUUUUCAGGUUAAAUUAACUUCUUCAACUCUGUCAAUUGCUAAAUAGUUCUCUUUAAGUAGAAAUAAAAUUUUUCAGGUUUCUAAAUUCUUUUUAUUAUUUUUAAGGUGUUGCAAGAGGAUGUGGGUGGCAGAAUAUAGCUGCUUUUGUGAAUCUUGGGGCUUAUUAUUUGUGUGGAGUCCCAACUGCUGCCAUUUUGGGUUUCUGGUUAAAGUUUAGAGGAAGGGGCCUAUGGAUUGGGAUACAAGCUGGUGCUUUUACACAAACACUUCUGCUUGGCAUCAUAACAACAUUUACAGAUUGGGAAAAACAGGUCUGUUUCUCAACAUUUAAUCCCUUAAAAAUUAGAGAAGCUUAUUGGACUAUAUAUGUAAAUAUGUAGCAAUUUUUUUUUCCCAAUAUGUAUCUGAUACCUUUCGACUGAAAGUUCAAGAUUAAAAUCACUCAGCUUGAUCUGAAAUAGUUAGUAUUAUCAUCUUAUGCAGAAAUGGUUUUGCUCAUUGAGAAAAUGAUAUUCAAUAACACAGAUGCAAACUCAUUUGAAAAUUUUGCCAUUGAGAAAAUGAUAUUCAAUAACAGACAUGCAAACUCAUUUGAAAAAUUUGCUUUUUUGCAAGAAUUGAUAACCAUUUUCUAGUUUGUUAAUUGUUACAAGUUCUGUGUUUCUAAGGGGUUUCUCAUGUUGCAGGCAAGUACAGCAAGGAAAAGAUUAUCAAAGGGAAGAUCUUUAGAAGAUAAUAGAAUAGUAUGUGAGUGAGCAGAGUCAAUCAAUGAGCUGAUAUAUACAUUGUCCAGUUGAAAGAGAUAAUCAUUGCUUGAGAAAAUGAGCUGCUCAUAUGUCAAUUGAUGGCCAAGAAGGUUCCCCAAUCUGAUCUAUGGAGCAUCGCAUUUCAUAAAACUCUGUUUCUAGAGAAAAAAAAAAAAAAUUAACAGCUUCUUAGGAUUGGAGCAUCAGGUGACUUAGCAUUUCCAGUAUGAAAGAAUUAUAAGAUAGAUGAUGCUGCAAAAAUGAAUAGAGAUAAAAUUAAGCAAGAGAAAAUGUUUGAAUGUUAUUAAUGAAACCUUUUCCAGUGAUUGUAGAGAUAAUUUUCUUUGUAUUGAAACUUUCAGCAUCUGAAAGAUAAGGAAAAUAUUAAAAGAAAAAAGAAAAUUCUUAAAUCUUUUCCAUGUCACUCCAGCAAAGUUGAAUUGUCAUUCUAAACCCUAUACCAAAAUGUAAGGUGGCCUGUGGCCUAUAGGUAAUACACAAUUUGACAACCCCAUAUAUUUAGUAAUCUAGGUGGAUGCCAUUUAUUUAUUUUUUAUUUAAUUUUUUUUCAUUUUUAAUGCAAACAACGCCUCUUUCAUUGUGGCAUUGGAAUAUAUAGAGAUUUGUACACUGAUUUUGGACCAUAAUUCACAAAUAAUGCGACGCAUAUCUUUCUUUCAGUACUUCUUCAGGAGGAUAAGAUACAGACAUUGUUGUCUUUUUACCUGAAGCAAGUGCAUGUGCAUGAAUUGUUGUUGUCUGUUAAUCUGCUGCCACUUUGCUGCCAAAAAACUUGAAAAAUAAACCAGGAAAAUUUUCAAUAAGCAAAGUCAAACAACUAACCCCUGUUUAAGUAAUUUUCCGAAGAAAACUUUUAAACACUCAAAUAAAGCACUCAAGUAAAGUAUUUCUGUCACAUUAGCUUUCGAGUGAGGUUUGAUUUACAUUUAUAUCAGAUAUACCAAGUGUUUUUUAUUCUUUUAAUUAAUGUAUAUCACAGCUUGGAAAUUCUAAAAAUUAAUCAUGCUUAAUCUUGAGCAACAAUAUCUGUAAUCAUCAUACGAGGUCAAAGGUGAAGGAAAAGAAAAAGAAAGAGUUAGUUUUAUGUAUAUAAGUGAAAGGAUCUGUUAUAGAGUAUUUCUGUUGCAUGGUUUUCGGAGGGAUAGCAUUGUCCACAGCAUUUGGACUUUGCUUCUGAUUCAAUGGCAUUUAGAAUUUGGUUUCCGCUGAGAUCAUAUACAGCUUGAUUCUGAUAUCUUCCAUUUUGGAGGGAUUCAGAUAAAUUGAAGAAGUUUGAGGUUCCAGUUCAAAUUGGUAAUGCUGCAGAUAAUAUAUAUAAUUUUGUAGAGGUUUUCUAACUUUUAUUUUUAGUAAUGUAUUCAUGUCCUGUCAUUCUUCUUUCUGCUUAAAUCCAGUUGCCCAUGUUGGAAUUUCUUUUCAGCUUUUGUAUUCUUUUUCCUUUUUGUUCAAUAAUGCUAUAGACGAUGCUCUACCAUUUAAAAGAUAUAAAUAAAAAAAUUUAUAAAUUUUUACUUUAUCAAGGUGUGAAACCUUAUAAAAUUUAUAAAUUUAACUAAUGAACAGAAUAUUUGGAGUUGUUAUACGUGGCGUUGUUAUACCAGAACUACAACAGUUAAGAUUGUACUUUGGACCAGUAGUCCGCAAGUUCGGGUUUCCAGCCGAUAUACCUCUGUGAUUAAAACUUUAAAAACAUUUUCUUCUCGGGUUAUAUAACCCAAAACAGACUUUCCUUUAGUCUAAAACAGGGUACCAAACCAGAUAAGAAAUUAUCAAAAGUUUUCUGAUGCACAGGAUCCUUGCAAAAGGCAAGUGCAGAGCAUACUUCCUUAGGUUUCAAAAUGAACAAAUUUAAUUCUUUAUUCCUUUUCUUUCUCUAGAGAGCUUCAUUUGCAGAGAGAGGAGAGAAGUUUAAGGAUUCAUAGUGAUAAAAACACACGAGAGUUUAUUGCUUCGAACUUCUAUCUUACAAGAGAUGAGAGAACUCAUUAUAUAGGAGAAAUCUCAGGAAGAUAGGACAGGACCCCUAUCUUUUACAAAAGCAAAAGUAAAAGGUACAUCAUGACACACUUUUAAUUAUUACAAAGGGACAAGGAUGCUUUAAUAAUGAAAGCAUGACUUUGGACAAAGCAAAAGUAAAACUUAAAGUAAAAGCAAAGCAAGAUGCAAUAAUUAUAUAGGACAAAACACAAAGGGACACAGCAUUUAUUACAUGAAGACAAACUACUUUAUGGAGAGGAGAGAUUCAUGUAGUCAUCUUCAGAGGAACUUUCUGUUGUGUCUGGGUCCGUGUCACCAGAGUGAUGAGGGUUUGGGAAAAAAAGGUUUGGAGAGCUUUUGAUGUUUACAGGAGGGACCACGGCAAGGUGGGUGAGGGCAAUUAUAGUCUCUUGGAGUACACCUUGGAGUAUACUUUGGAGAGGUUUGGGUGGCUUUGUCAACUUUGGAGGUUUGGGCUGGCCUUUUGGAAGGUUGGGUUGAUGGACCUGCUUCGAAGGGUCCGGGUUCAUCCAUUGUUGGUUGGGGAAAUGGUUGUAAGUGUUGGCUUAGAGGAAGAAAUGCAUCCCAUGGAUCUUGGGAAUCCUGGAACAGGAAGUCAGUGUAGUCUGGUUUUUCUUCCUUGAUAAUGAUACCUGUGGACUUUGGUUUGGAUAUAGUGGACGGAGUAGGAAUCAUGAUGAGGUCAUGUUGUGGACCUAAGGAGGUGUGGAAGAUAUCUCGGUGUAGAGGAGUCUGGUGGUUCAAUUGACAAAGAUAAUUGUACAGGGUGGUCUGGAUUUCAUUGUCAAUGAUAGCUGGAUGAGGGGCAGUAAACCAUUCAUAAACUUGAUCUUGAGUCCAAAAGAGGUUUGUGUCUGGAUGUUGGAAAUAUGGUCGGUGAAUGAUAAAAAUGGAUGUGAACAUUUGGGCUUCAGAAGCUGGUAUACGGUCGAGAUUGUAGAUCUCUGUUAGUUGCUGUAACUUUUUUCUCCACCAUGGGAUGGGAGAAUACAAUUCCAGUAAUAUCCAGAUAAGAGAAGUGGCUUUUUUCGGGUCGAGGAGAUGGGAUAAGGUAGGAGCAAUUGGUAGGAUGAGCUUGGUAGCAUAAAGAACAGUUAGGCACCAGAGGUACCAUAACUCGUCUUCAGUGAUUUCUCUAGAUGGAUCAAGGGUCAAACCUGUCAGGAACAGAUUUUCUGGGUGGAAAGUGGAAAAUGGAAAGGAGUCGGCCAUAAGGUAGGCUUUCAUGAAGAAGCGAAAAACAGCUUUCCUUGCAAAUUCCUGGAUAGCAAAAACAGAGGAUAAUGGUUUGUUAAGGGGAAAAGUCUUUUUGGUGAGAGCUUCUGGUGGAAGAGAGGUAGCCAUGAAGAUGAUAGGAAAAUGGUAUGCUGUAGAGAUGACGGUGAGAGUGUGUUCUGGUUUGGAGAGUCUGGAGAGCAUAUCAGGGAUGAGGUUCUGGGAUCCCUUUAUAUGCUUGACAGAGAAGUCAUAUUUGAAAAACCAAUCUUUUAAUCGGAGUAGCAUCUUUUCUGGAACAGUUUUACCUUUGAAGUUGAGAAUAUUAGGGAAAGCUGAACUGUCCAUUCGGAUAAGGAAGUGGUGUCUAAUCAGAUGGUACUCAAAUUUCUUGAUGUCAUUCUUUACCGCUAAGAUUUCUUUGAACACGCUAUGGUAGUGUUUCUGUGUGUCAGAAAAAUGUCCACUAGCGUAAGCGAUAAAGUGUUCUUUUCCAUCGAGUUCUUCAAGGAGGAUGGCACCCCAAGAUUCAUCACUGGCAUCUAUCUGUAAGAUGCGCUUUCCAUCUGCAAUUAACUUUAAAGGAGGCGGAUUUUGCGCGAUUUGUUUGAGAGUAGUGACAGCACGUGUGUGGUCAUCAUUCCACUCAGCAGGUUUCUUUUUCAAUAAAGCCGAGAGAUGAUGAGUGUAGUGGUCCACAUGUGGGAUGAAGUCUCUGAUGUAGUUGAUAAUCCCGAGAAACUGUUGAACUUGCUUUUUGGAAAGUUGUUGAUCUGGAAAGUGAAGCAACUCUUGAGCGAUGUGCUUUCCUGGCUGGUAAUGGCCAUCUUUAAUGAUCAUACCAAGAAAUUCGAUGGUAUCUGUGGCAAUGGUGCUUUUCUUGGCAGACAACAUGAUUCCAUGACUGUGGACAAGAUCAUAGAACUGGCUUAACAGCUGGUGAUGUUCAUCAUGUGAACUUGAAAAAAGCAAGAUGUCAUCAAUAUAAAUCAAUGCAUGAGACAGGAUAGGCUGAAAGAUCUUGAUCAUGGAUUUUUGAAAGAUAGAUGGGGCAGUUUUGAGGCCGAAGGGUAAGACUGUCCAUUGGAAAUGGGCAUUGGGAAUGCAAAAGGCAGUCUUAUAUCGUUCAGAGGGUUCGAUGCCUAAUUGCCAAAAACCUGACUUUAAAUCAAAUUUGGAAAAGAUCUGGGCAUUUUUUAGAAAAGUAAACAUGCUUUGUCGGCGGGGUAAAGGAAAUUUGUCAUCUUGCAAAAACAUGUUUAGGGGAUGAUAGUCUAUGACUAGGCGUUUUUUCCCUCGAACAAUUUCAGAAUGCUUUUCGACAUAAAAGGCUUGGCAAGCCCAUUGGGAAUUUGUGGGCUCGAUGAGACCUUGGACCAACAAUUGAGAACAUUCAUGUUGGGCUAGGAGUAAGUCAGACGGACUCAUUCCUGGAUGGGUAGCCUUGGUUGGAUUGAUGUCUUCAUUGAGUUUGAAGGGUAACUUAACAAAGAAGGACUUAUUUUUCCACAAAGGAUUUGGAUGGGUGGACUCAGAAUGAGAUUCUGGACAAAAACUCAAAAGUUUGGUUGAAAGGUCCUGGUAAGACUGAGGGGUUUCGGACAGAUUGUAAAGUUUCAGGAUGUCUGUGAAUGGUUUGAACAUGGACUUGACUCGAAUUCCAUUGGGAAUGAUUUGAAGGUGUUUGAUCUGGUGGAGGAUGUCAAAUCCUAACAAGAUAUCCUUAUUAGGAAGGGUUGAACCAAUAACUUUGGUCCAAAUGACACAAUUGGGAAAGAUUUGAAUACCAAUGGGUUUUUUGGUAAUCAAUGAGGUGGUGAACAAUUUGCCGUUGACAGCUUUGAAAUGUUCUUCAGACUGUAUCCAAUAGUCUGGUGGAAGAAUGUGCGGAUUAAGCAUGCUGCGUUGGGCUCCAAUAUCAAUAAGACCAAUUGCUGGAAUGGGCCUUUGGAAUUUUGAGGGCAAAAUCUGGAGUUUGAUGGAAGGUAUAGGAACUGUAGUGUCAAGGGACAAUAACUGUUGAUGAAAAAUGACUUAUGACUGAUCACUGUCUAAAUCAUCAGAGGACUGCUGUAGUGCGAACACGGUUUCAUCAUUGGGUUCAUCUUGUUCAGAGAAAUAGAAUUCCAGUUCAUCCUUUUCUAGGGAGUAAUCGGUAGUAGCUUGAAGAUGUUCAACAAGGCGAAUGGAUUUUUGUCUUUGGUUGAGACACUCUUUGGCAAAAUGACCCUUUUUCUUGCAGAUAAAACAUCUGAUGGACUUUCGUCUUUUAGAGUCUCGGGAAGAAGAAGACUUCUUUCUGAAGAAUCUGUAAAGUUUUCUGGACCUGCGGGGUUUGGAUGAAAAUUCUAGGGUUUUGAAUUUUCGAAAAUGCUUUUUCUUUUUGGAACUACAAUCACAAUUCUUCUUUUGUUUGCAUUUGAUCUACAAAUAAGGCUUUUUGCAGGCACUUCUGAAUGGUUCAUUGUCUUUCAACAGGUCUUUGAAAAACUAUUUUUGUUCACAGAGUUUAUCAAGACAUGUCUUGGCAAGCUGAAAGAUUUUGCCAAGAGAGAUGUUGUCAAUGACAAGAUUGGAGGCGGUGAGCUGCCGCUGUAUGUCUGGUUGGAGUUCUUCUGGAAGGGAAGCCAGAAAGACAUGCUUUAGUGUAGGCUCAUUAAAUCCAUUAAGCUUAUAGAAUAACAAGGACAUGCGUUUGUAAUGGAAAUCAAGAUCCUUAGCAUUGAGGGAGCAGCAUUUCAUGUUAAGAUAGUCUCGUCGGGCGGCUUUAAAGGCCGCAGCUGGGUCUCCGAGAAAUUGAUCAUUAAGAAUGGCGAGAGCACUUGAGACUUCUGGUAAUUGGACAAACUGUAAUUGUCAGUAUUGGCCUAAUGAAUCAAACCAAUCUCUUAGAGCACCCGUAAAACGAGUAGCAAAUUCUCUAAGGACUGAUUCAGUUGUGGCUCCUAGGUGAAGCAUUUGGAGAUCAAUCCAGGCAGACAUUUCAUUAAGGCGGUCACGCCAUUUGUAAGAUGGGAUAUCAUCAAAGGUGAACCAUGGACCAUUUGAUGAUUUAUGACUAGAUGAACUAGUUUGGGCCGGAGGAGGCUGAUGUGUAGCAGAAGAUUCAGGCAUUUUUUCUUCAACAUCAGAAGGAAUGUCAACAUAUGGUUCUGUCCGGGAUGACUGACCUUGGGUAUGUUGAUCAGGUUGAGCCAUUAGAAUCUUGGUGAUAUCAGCAUAAGAGUUUUCAGAGUCACUGGUGGAUGCUGAAGAUUCUGUGUCAGUCUCAGUGUGGCUAUCUGAAACGGCUAGAUUUGAAUCAGAAGUUUGGUCAUCGGUGGAAGAUGAGUGGUCAACUGUGUGGGCACUGAACUGGUGCAUGGGUUCUUUAUCUUUGGAUUUAGUAGGAGGUUGAGAUAAGGGUGGUUCAGGUGGUGAUGGUGAGGCCGGUGUAUAUCCUGGGGAUUGGUGGCCAGAGGUAGGAUUGGAGGAUGGGUGAAUUGUGACGGGUCGUGGUUGAGGCUUCGGCUUUGAUUUAGGUUUUGAUGGUGGUGGCAAUGGAUGUUCUCGAAAGAGUGUAUGAGUCAUACCAAAUAACUUGGAAGGCUCAUAUUGUCUAACAAGGGAAAGUAUAGAGGCAAAAGGAUGAUAAGUGGGACCAAUGGAAGGAAUGAGAGGUGAAGAAGUAAAAAGGGACGGACGUUGUUUUUCAGACUCAAUUUGGCAAAGCUCAACUUUUAGGCGUCUGAUCUCUCUUUCUUUUUGGUCAAAUUUUGGGCCAUAAUAGCGAUGGGCAAGCAUGGUUCGUAACUCAGAAUCAAGUUGAGCAAUUUUAGACUGCAGGUUUUGGUGGAUCUGCUGCAUCUGUGUAGAGAUAGAGUCAACUUUUGUCUCAAGUUGUUCAGUUCGCAAACUGAUUUUUUCAACUUUUGAGUUGAUAUUCAACAAAGUAUCAUUUUGAGCUCUAGCAUUGUGAGUUUGCCAGUUGAGGACUGACUCAAAAGGUUUGGAUGGUUCAAGAUGACCAGUUGAAGUUAUGGGUGAAGGGAUAAAAGGUUUGGAUACAACAUUUCGUUGGGAAUCUGUGUGGGUGUCUAAAGGAGGGAAGGAAGAAGAAUAUUCUGAAGAAGUAGAUGAAAACAUCAUACAACUCAGUGGUGGAGGUAGAUCUGGGAUUGGUGAUGGAAUCUCAUAUUUGCAAUGCUUUACAAUCCAUUUGAGUUCUUUUUGGUAAAUUGGUAAAGGAGCUGGUGGCGAUGGAGGGUCUUUUGGUGGUUUAGGGGGACUGUGGUGGCAAGAGGUAGAAGAUUGUUUCUUUUUGGUUUUGCUUUUCCUUUUGGUAACAUAAUCAUCGUCCUCUUCCCAAUCAUCCCAGCAGGGACAAUCUGGGUCACAGUUGCCUGAUCCAGGGACAUCCCAUAGGAAAUGUCCAUUGUGCUUGGCUGGAUAAACAGGGUAACCUUCAGAAUUGAACCCUGUAAUAAGCAGAUCUUCCUGGGCUGUUUGAACAGCUGUGAUCAUGGAGGAAUAUGUAAAAGAGAGCCGAGGGGGCUCUUGAGGAGCACUGGGAGGUGGUUUAAAUGUCAUUCUGACCGUUCCAUCUGGUCGACGUUCAAACAUGCUCUCAGAUGUCUAAACUGGAGCUGUAUUGUUAUGGAACUGUUCAUAGUUGGAGAUCCAUUCAAGUGGCAUAAGCUUGAUGAGCUCAUGGCGAGGAAUUUGUCUUGGGAUCUGGAUGAUGGUUGGGAUUUGGUCAGAUUCAGCUAAUACCAUGAAGGCAUCAGAAUGGUGUUCUAGAGUGGGAAGAUCUAAGGCAUGAUUUUGAAGCCUAUAGACCAGUUGAUGGUGUAUGGUGGCAAUUUUGGCAGAGGAAAUCUGUUCAGCACCUUGGAUCUGAACUUGAACUUUCAAGGUUGUGGGUAGAUUGGUAUAUGUUCAUUAGUUAAAUUUAACUAAUGAACAGCAUAACAAAAUAUUUGGAGUUGCUUAAUACCAUAGAAAAAAAAGCAGAAAGAGAUGUUCAAGAACAAAACACAAAAAUUUUCAUCAAGUGGAGCAUCGAUCAUGCCAGCAUAAUAACAUAAUUACAUAAUGCUCGAAGAGCACCCAAGACCUUCUGAAAAAAUAAUAUAACUUAAAAUAUCAAAAAACACAAAUAAUUAAUUGAUUAUCCAAAUAUAUAAACAAACCUAGCUCACAAUGUGAAAUAUAUUAAAACAGCAACCAUAAGAUUUUCAAACAUUUAAAUUAACGGUGAUGAUAUUUCCACCCCGUGAAUUUUAUAAAUCCACCCAUUUUUAAAAAAAUUAUUAUAAUCAGUUCACAUUAUUUUUUAAAAAUUUAAAUUAAGAAGAAAUUAAAAAAAUUGAUAUAGAAUUUAUAAUUUUAUAAAAUAAUGUAAACUUAUUGUAAUUAUUUUAUACAGGUGGACUGGGUUUAUAAAAAUAGCGGGGUGAAUAUACUUACACCCUUGAAUUAAUAGUUAGUAUAAAUUUUAGAUACCUCCCCUAAAAUUUGACUUUGCUACACUUAGAGAGAAUGUAAACAUAUAUUGACAAUGGAAAAUGCUACUUUUCUCGGGUCAAACUCCGAAUUAAAUUAAAACGACGCUGUUUUGAUUUCUUUUUUUUUCUUUCAUUCUCUCUAAAACGACGCCGUUUUAACUGGCCUCAAAUUGCUCUCUCUCUUCGUCACACAAAUCCUUUUUCUUUGUCUCUCUUCCCCUUCGUUUCAGCUUGGUUAAGGUAAAAUCAACAACAGCCCAAAUUGCUCUCUUUCUCUGUCGGUGGUGGUGCCUUCUGUACAUUUAUCCUGGUACACGUCCCCCAGACCACCACCCCGUUUCCUGUGUUUUUGUUCCAGAUCUCUUACAGCCUCCUCUAUAUUGGUAUUGUUUUCACCAAUAUCCUUACCAUUAAUACCAUGAGAAUCAUUGAAAAGCUCUUCUGUUCCCCAUCGUAGAAUAUCUUCCACUUCCUUUUGAGAUCCAGAUUUAUUGACAAAAAUAUGAUCAAGCAUUAAUUUCUUUUUUGCAAGCUGCAAGAUGCGCUCCUCAACACUGGCACCGACAACAAGCCUAUAUACUAAAAGUCUAUUUGAUUGUCCAAUUCGAUUUGCCUGAUUCAUGGCUUGAAUAUCAGCAUGCAGAUUAAAAUCAGAAUCAUAAAUUCAUCUGUGAAAAAAUAAGAACUCUGAAAAAAUAAGAGAGAACGAAGAGAAAGAGAGCAAUUUGCCUUAACCAAGCUGAAAACAAGGGUUAAAACGACGUCGUUUUAGCUUGAAUUAAAAAAAAAAGAUAUUGAAACGACGUCGUUUAUUGUUUUCGGGAUUUGACUCGGAAUUUGACCCGGGGUAGGGGUAAAUAGCAGAACUCAUUGAUAAUAUACCCCCUAGUCGUGUAUAAGAGUUAGGCACUGGUUAGGUAGUUGAGGGCAAUAACGUACAUGUUGCAUAUUUUUUUAUUUUUAAAUCUUACAAAAGCUGUUGUACUGUAACUAAUUAGACAAGAGCAGCGAAAAUGCAUACAGUGCUUUGAAGCUGGGGAAGCCCAAGGGGAUAGUAACCCAUUUUCAUUGUCAAUGCCUAGCUUCAUUUCUUCUUUUUCUCAGCAUAACUUGAUGAGUGCUUAGCUUCAUUUCGAAGGUCGUGACACCAACUGAUUUUAGCAAAAGCAGAGAUACUUUGUGAUGCAAUAAGCUAACAAGUUUCUGAAAUCAACUAUGUUUUGAACCAAAUUCCGGCGACGACCAGCAGCUGAAAAGCCGGUGAUUAAAGGGCAAUCUAGGUGCGUAAUUCUAUCAAAGCUUAAAAUUGAAGUUAGGUUUUAUUAUUUUCUUGCAUUUUGUUGAAAUUGCUGUUAGUUAGGUGCUUUAUUUUUAGUUCAAAUUAAUUGAGAAAAAUGUUUAGGGUUUAUAGAAAUUGAAGUAGUGACCGAAUAUAUCGGAAUUGAUUUUUGAGUUGAUAGUCACUCGACAUGUUGUGUAAACUAUGAAAAUGAUUUAUUUUUUGAUGAUUUUGGACUCUGGUUUUUGAAUGCCUGCUGAAAUUUGCUUGAUCUGUUAUUAAAAUUGAGAAAAAUCCAAUCUUUUUCUAAGAAUGCAGAGGUGUUGCUGAGAAAACGCUUAUGGUGUUGUUUUGUUUCUUUUUUUAUUUUACAAGUGUGCAGUUCAUGUAAGAUUGAGACAGUUGCUCUUGUUGCUUUUUGAUGUUUGUAUAGACUAAUUCCAAUCACUGAUUUUUGUUGGAAAAUGGAUGCUAUUAUUUUUCCUUUUCUUCGUGUAAAAAAUUGUACUUCCGUUCCCAACAUAAAAUUCAGAUGCUUGCCUAUUACUUUUUGAGGUUGUUAUUUAGGUGUAAGAGAUAUAUUAGUUAUAGAGCUUGUAGGCAGUUGGUUUAUUGAAGAACUAGUACAGUUGAGAAAGUGUCUUUUAGGUCAUCCAUUUUAAUACACAUAUUAACAGAUUUAAUUACAUAAACACAAGACUUCAUUUGUUUAUCAAAGUAGUACUUUCUGAUGCUUUCAUAUAAUGAAUGCCAAAGAGAUGUCAUUUGCAAAAAGGUCAUUUGCAAAAAGGCCAUUUGAAUGUACCAACUGCUAUCCUUGUAAACCUCUAUUGUGAUUCUGUUAUCAUUAUAUGUUGUUUAAUGAUCUGAUGAUUUCGAGAUAUCAAGAUGAGUUUAUUCAUACAAUAAAUGUUGUCAUUAGGUUCAUAAUUAUUGUAGUACAUGUUCAUUUAGCUACUUUAGGUACUGCUACAUGCAUUUAUUGUAUAAUGCCUACUUAGCAGCCAUAACUACACCCAUUGUUGAAGCCACAGCAGCACAAAUGAGAAAAAAAACAUGUUUAGGAACAACAUUGUCUUUAUAUCAUUUAAUUUUACUCCAUUUUGUUGUGCUUUUUGCAUCAGUGACUUCAAAUCCUUCCUAUCCUUUUGCAUACUCAUCAGCAGUUCAUAAUUUGCUUGACAUGUUCCUAAACCAUCAAAUAUAACACCUUGGUCGAUAUCAUAGCCACAACCAUUUUUUCUAUUCAUACAGCAAUAAUAUAGCUUGUUUGGGUUGUCAUCUGAUUCCGCUACCUUCAUAGCAGCUAUUUUGUAGCAUUUACUAAUCUUGUUUGAAAAUCAAAUGAAUUUAAAAUAUUCUCAUUUAUUGUUUUUUGUAGCGUUCACUAAUCUUCUGAUAUUCAGUAUUGUUUUUAUAUAAAUUAAUUUAAAAUAAUAUCAUUUAUUUGUCUUAUUAUAUGAUUUUAGACUAUCAAAUUAUUUGUUUUAAGGGGCAUUUUGGUCUUUUCAACACUCAAUUGAGUUUUGUCUUAUUAUAAGAUUAUGUAAUGUCAACAACAAUUAUCAUAAGGGUAUAAUAGCCUUUUGACCCCCCCCCCUCCAGGCGCCAAAAAAAAAAUCGCCCCAAAUAUAAAGAUCAUCUACAGUGUCAAAUAAUUUUGAAGGGCAUUAUUAUACAUUCACUCAACUACCUAACGGGUGCCUAACCUUCAUACAUGGCCGGGGGUAUGUUGUCAAUAUAUGGAUACAUUCUCUCUAAGUGUAGCAAAGCCAAACCUCAGGGGUGGUUUCUAAAAGUUUUCCUAAAUUGUUAAUAAUUUUAUACAACAGAUUCUUGGAUACCCCUCAAGUUCACUUAUUCUACGUCAUGGCUGACUUUCAAGAAAUUAAAUUCUACAUUAUGACCCCUAGGGAAACAACGUCGCUAAUAAAAUUAUAAAAUACAUGUGUGUAAUAGUAGUCAAACCUAAACCUAUGUCGUUUAGCAAUUUACAAAAUGAGAAAGACGACAAAAGCCAAGCGUUAGAGUGGCAGCGAGCCAACGAGACAAGCUCAAGUUCACAGUGUUUUUGUUGAACCUUCUGAAGACCCAAAACUCGAGGUUUGUUUUUACGUUCCCUAAUCGUUUGACUACAUUUUUAUUCUGUGCUACGUUCGUUAUGAACUGUUCAGGCUAAGUGUUCGACGAAAUUCCUAAGUGAGUAUAUAUAAUGGUUUGCUCUCGUAUUUAUUCUGUUAUAGAAUGUUUUGCUUUGGGUGGUUAAAUAGAGGAGAUUAGACAUUGAACUUUAUGCACUUGUAUGUUUUCAAGUAAUUGUUUGCUGAGGCACAUGUACUUUGAAUGGCUUCAUUCAUCUACAGAGAUAUCAUAACAUUUUUUGCUUAGUGUGAGUCUUAUUGUUGUUAAUUUGUCCAAAGUGAAGGCUUUUUUAACUUUUAUUUCUUUGAUUUAUUUAUUUAUUGUUUUGUCGAAGUUCUGUGUCUCAACUUUUAUUUGAUAAGUUCUUUCAGACUACUAAUUAGAAGAAAAAAAUGCUAGAGAGUGAGUAUGAGAGGGAAUGAUGUUUGGGCAAGGGGUGAUUGGUUCACUUGGCUCAUAAAGGACCUCAACUAUAAUGACAUGUAUCAAUUUCGCAGCCUAAUUGGAAGGUAAGCUCAUUUCUUGAUUUCCUUCAAUUUUCACUUUCAUUUUACUGUUUUCAAGUAGCAGGUAAUCUAAAUAAAAGUAAAAUCAGUAGUGAUUUGCUUCAAGUGCAUAUGGAUAGUAUAUCACAUGUGAGAAGAUUGUAUUUGUUAUAUGAAAAUCCUUAAUAACUUUAAUUAAAAAAUAUAUUCUCAAACCUGAUCGUGGAAUGUACUAUUUCUUAAUAUCUGAGUUUGGAUCAACACAUUUUUUGCCAUGCAAUUUGACAAGUUGUCAUGUCCUCAUAUUCUGCACUAUUAUAAGUUUUGCCAAUCUGCAUAGGUGUUUAAUAGAUUGAGUUAAUCUAGUUUCGAGAGCAUGCCUAACUAAAGGGCAUCAAGUUUCUAAGUGAGGGCAAGCACAACUAUAAUUAUCUAUUUCAUAUCCUCCCUAUCAGCGGGGCAGGUCUGUUACCUCUAAAUUCUUUCAAUAACUUGGGGACGUUAAUCCUAUUAAUGACAGCCACAUAUUAUAAGUCAAGAAAACUGAUUUUUUGAUUAUUGAAAAAAUCAAAUUUUUUGUAUUAUUCUAUUUAUGAUCUCAGUAACCUACAUGUUGCGAUUGUCUUGUAUGGAUCAUUGUUUCUCUUUUAAGCUGUUAUAGUGACAAUUUUUAGCUCUUAUUGCAGUUCUUAAAGUCAUUGCAAGCACAUGCUCUGUCGAUCUCCAUAAAUUCAGAUACAUAUGCAUAGUUAGCUAUUCAAAUAACCACACUGGUAUUUAACUUCGAUAUUCAGAAAUAUUGCUGAAGUGAAGCUUCAUGGGGCAUGGGCGAGUGCAUUUUGUUACAGAGUGAUAUGGGCUCUGAAAUUGAAAGGCAUAGCAUAUGAUUACAUUGAAGAAGAUCUCUCUAACAAAAGUGCUUUGCUUUUGAAGCAUAAUCCAGUUCACAAGAAGGUCCCAGUGCUUGUUCAUGACGAAAAAUCAGUUUGCGAGUCCAUUGUUAUCCUUGAAUACAUUGAGGAGAUGUGGCCACAGAAUCCCUUAAUGCCAAAUGAUCCUUAUGAUAGAGCUCUGGCUCAUUUUUGGAUUAUAUUUGCCUAAGAUAGAGUUUGCUUCAGAACUCUAGCUAAUGCGUUUAUAAGUUCAUUAUUUUCAUGUUUAUUUGUUAUUAGAGAAAAAGAUCAGUAUCCCUGAUUGUAUGUCAAAAUUAAUUAUUUGUUCUUUUAUGUUUUAAAACCUAUCAAAAUCUCCAUUGUCGUUCAAAAGAUUCUGUUAACCUUCAAUUUUUUUGUCUUUUACUAAUUUUACCUCUGGAAAAAUUUUUAUUAAUAGGAAGUUGAAAGUUUAAUAGAAUUUUUUUAACGGCAAGGGAAAUUUUGAUGGCUUUUGAAAUAUGAGGGAGAAAAGGAUUAAUUUACCAAAACAACAUUGUGGUUUUGUUGUUCAUUUACCCUUUGUCAUUCAAUGUAGUUGUUAACCUCUAGUAUAAGGGUGCUUGACAAAUGACAAGGAUAUGUAUUGUCCAAGUCUUUUAGUUCAUACAUAUUAUUAAUCAUGUGGUGAUAUUUUGGCAGGGAGCUACUGUUUGGAAAAUGUUUCGUAGCGUACAAGAUCAAGAGAAUACAAUGAAAGAAAUCUUGGAAAUGCUAAAAACCGUUGAAGAACAUGGCUUAGGAGAGAAGAAAUUUUUUCAUGGAGACAAGAUUGGCUUAGUGGACAUAGCAUUUGCUUCCUUUGUUUAUUGGUUGCAAAUCAUUGAAGAUGUAGCAGGAGUGAAACUAUUUGAAUCUCACAAAUUCACUCGCUUGCACGCAUGGUUUGAAAAAUUUAAACGAGUCCCAGAAAUUGAAGAGAACCUUCCUAAUUGGGGUGAACUAUUGGUUUUUUUCAAACGUCGCCGUGAAAAGUUGGUGGCCUCUUCCUCAUUGCAUUAGCACAAAAUUCGUGCAAUUGUAUUGUUGUCAAGAGGCCGCUCUUUGCUUAGUUUUUGAUUAUCUUGUGUGCUCAAUUGGGAGGCCGCCGCUUUGCUGGGUACUUUCGUAUGGAUUUGAGUAAUAAGGGGGACUUGACUUUAUAUUUAUGAAUUAUUGCAUGUAUUUCGUUAAUUAUUAAUGGACUACUAACGGUUAUGUAUUGUUUGGGAGGAAGUUUAAAUGCUGAUAUAUACUAAUGACUUGAAGAAAAGUCAACUUAUUUGAAGUAAUAUAACUCUAAAAAAUCAGAAGAAAAACUCUUUGUGGAAAAAGAUAGUUCUGGUAAACAUGCCCAGCAUUAAAGGGUAUUAUCGAAACUUAAAUGUGAAUGGUUAGAGCCAACAUGUGAACAGUACACCAUUAUGAAAAGAAUAAUUUUUUUUUCGCUAAGAAUAACGAGCCAAUAGGACUUUAGUGAUUUUUUUUAGAUCUAAUUUCUUGAGAGACUUCUUCAUCUUCUUCUUCCUUUAUGGUUGGGGUUUCUUUCUCCAUUUUAACACCACCAUGGUAAAUUUUAACCAUCUAUCUCCCAAAGAAGCCUUUUCCCUUACUCUUCUCCUGGAAAACUCUCAAAUCUCUAUAAAACUCGUAUCUCCCUCAUGUCAUUAUUCCUCAUAAACAACCUUUAAUAAAGUUUUGUCGAUAUUAUAAUGCAAAUUAUGUAAUACUUCAUUUAUAUAGUGGAUUGGAGAUGAGUUACUCUUAUGGAUGUAGAUCAAAGGGCCGAACAAUGUAAAAUCUUAUGUGUUCUCUAUUGUUUAUGCUUAUUUUCUAUUUAUUAGGAUGAUGAUAAUACUCAAAUCGUAUUCCAUACAUGAGCUCAUAUAGAGGCAUAGCACGAGCUCUACUGAGCUCCCCAAAUAAGCUCUAUAGUUAAAGCUAUCCUCGAAUUCGCUAGAGCUACUUCCUAAACUCUCUUGAGCUCCCCAAAUCAACUCUUUAAACUAAAUCCCAUGAGCUCCAUAGAGCUUACCUCCCAAAACACUUCAAUUUACCUCAGUUCACCUUCCAGAUCACCACUACUAGAAAAAUAAGCUUUACUGAUACUAAUUUAGUGUCAGUAAUUACUUUUCCUGACACUUAUUAAUUGUGUCAAUGAUGCUCAAGCCAGAACACACUGACACUAAUUUUUAGUGUCAGUGAUUAUUGUGUUAGUAAUUAGCGUCAUUAUAGUAUCACUUAAAUAAUGACACGAUGGUGUUAGUAUUUGAUGAUAUUAUUUAUACGUCAGUGAUUUAUGUGACUAUAGUAUCAAGAGCACACUGAUUCAAUAACAUCAAAAGUUAUUAUUGUCAUUUUAAAUAUUUAGUGUUAAUAUUUAAUGAUAUUAUGCUACUUUUGGUUAAUAGUAUAUUUUUAUUUUUAUUUUUAUUUUCCUGAUUGUUUUACAAUCAAAAUAAAACUCAAAAUAUAUUAAAUAUACCAAAUCUCACAACACAAUUCAUAUAAUAAACAUCCCAAUACAUCACUUACAUUAAUAUAAUUUAACUACAUCAUUGUCUGGAAAAGAAAAAUAUAAGUACCAAAUUGAGUUUCGACCAGUUCUAAACAAUAGAAUACAAAAUUAAGUUUCAUCAAACAUUAACCUACAAAAUUAAGCAGAAGAAUGUCACUGAAUAUCCACACAUGGCUUCAUUUUUUUCCCACCUACAAGUACAUAAAAUCAAUUAGUACACCUCAAAAAAUAAGUCUUGGAUAUUUGGAAACAAUAUAUAAAGUGCAACCAUUUUUCCAGUACACUAAUAUUAAUUUGAAAUAUUUUUGUUUUUCGAAAAUUACAUGGCAUGCUUAUCUAAUGAAAACCUUAUAAAUUAACAAUGAACAUAUGUAUUAAUUUGAAAGCAUUCAACUUACAAGUAAUCCUGAUCAAUCUUAAAUUGUUGGAAUGUCCUCUAGUUGACCAGCAACUGAUGCUCCACCUAUAAAUUAGAGAGACAUUUAUAAGAAACUGUGGCAAUCUUAAACAAAGAAAUGUAAAUUUCAAAACUGUGUAUAAAGAAAAUCACAUAAAUCUAGUAGUGCAUUCCGCAUAUUACAUGAUCAUCCGGAAGCUGGUUCUGCCCAAUCAAAUGUUCAUCACUUAAUUAAUCUAGAGAAACCAAAAUUAAAAAUUAAAAAAUAAAAAUCUAGCUACCACUUUUCCAAUCACUAUUAUUAACCUCUCUUAAAACGUAAGCGAGUAACAAGCAGUAGAAGAUGGACGAGUAAAAUUAGAUAUUUAGAAGGUUUAUAAUUAAGCACUUAUAAUAAUAAUUCAGACAAAAUCCCAAAAUUGAAACAAAAGAAGCUUUGAAAUUAAAACAAGAGAGGAACAAGUUAGAUGAGCCAUAAUGACUUUUUAAUUAGCCAAGCUAAUUCAUAAGUUAAGUAACUAAUAAAAAUUAAGACUUAAAUUAAAAAUGUCUUCAUUUUGUUUAAUUAUCGUAUAAUUUUUUUUUUCUCAUGUCUAAAGCAUAUUUAGAGGGAGAGCUCAAUUUUACAACCUACUUAUGAAUUAAAUUUUAUCCACACAAAAGGGGGAAAAAACACCAAGCUAAAGUUUUAAUUAAAAGAAUAGUGAAAGCAGAAAGCAACGUGAUUAAUUAAGAAUUUCAUUUAAUUUUACUCACAAAUUGAUGUGUUAUAUAUCUCUAUGUGUGUGUGAGUGUGCGCACGCGCAUACAUAAAAGACCAUGCAUUACAGAGUUAGUUUUUUUACUAGUACUGUUGACGAGGGAACAAAUCUCUUUUAUCAUGGAUAAUGUGUAGAGAGAUGAGAGAGUAGUGUUGUGUUAUAAAUAUUAAUUGUCAAACAAAAUAUUAUUUCUUAAGAGAUCUGACUUUCUCAACAAAGUGCUCAAAAACCAAUAAUUGUCAAGGAACACGUUGACCGUUGAUAAGGCUUUUAACUAGAUGCCUUAAGCAACAACUUUAAUAAAUAUUACUUUUUCAGAUUUCAAUAAGUUGUAGUUGGCAAAAAAAAAUAUAACAUUUAAUCAUUAAAUAUUAUCCAAGUCCAACCCAACAAAAUAAAAUCAAGGAGCAUUAACAGAGGUCAACUAGCUCCCACCGCCCUGGGCAUAUUUUUUACAGUUUCUUGUGAUUAUACUUGUUACAACUACCAUGUCAUAGUUAUUGAAGAGAUAACUUUAGAUUCGGAAGGAGAGGGGAAAAAAGUCAAAAUUAGACCACAAAGAAGAUAGUUCUCAGAGGAAAUUAAAAAGGAAUUAUAAGACUCAUAUUAUGUAAAUGAGCGGCCUACAACACGUCAGAGUUGCAAAAUACUAAAAAGCUUGCAAUAAGGACCCAAAAAAGAGAGAGAGCGAGAGAGAUAUAAAAUUAGCAUCUCUAAACAAAAUGUUGAAUAAUAGUUUGAGAAAUAUUUCUUUCUCCUACUUUUCCAUAGUGAUGGGACUGAGAAUUAAGAUCAAGUAAAGAAAAUUAGGCAUAAUUAUUGUAAAAAAAAUAAAAGACCAUCAAAACAUAGCAGACAUACAGAGAUCACCAACAGCAAGCAUGGAUAUGAAAUUAAAACAACUAAACAAAAAGUUAAUUAUUUUAGUAAGUAGACUGAACUAACCAUAUGAUUCUUGCCACUAUAAUAACCAUAAGAACCUGACAGUCAUGAACACCAAAGCUUGUGAUUUUCUCUAGCCAGGAGCCCACCUGCACUGAAGUCCAUAGGUACAACAAUAUCCAAAAUAAUAAUAAAAGCCAUGAUGGAGUUUUAAAAAGUUCAUAAUUCGGUUUUAGAACAAUUGAUGGAUAAACUUAAAAAUUUGAAGUACACCAGUCAGUUUGAAGUACUUCAUACAACUUUCAUAUAUAAAAUAUAAAUGUGAAAUAACAUGUUCACAGUGGAGACCAGUCAGCUGCUGGAGAAACUAUUGCCUUGCUUUACAUAUACAGAGCAUCCCAUGCUCAUUAUCAUGGAAUGGUGUCCUAUUGUCUACUACUCAAAUUAUGGACUAUUACACAAGUACCGAUCAAAGCUUUUGUUCUCAAUCUUAAAACAUAUCACAUAAAGUUCAAACAAAAAAAGGGCCAACUCCUAACACAAUCCACCAAUAAACUCCCCUUUAAACUUCCAUCGUACUAUGGAAUGACAAAUUGUUGCAAACUCCAAAAUAAAAAGGCUCAACAGAGAACAAAAACAAGAACUUAUUAAUCAGGCAGCUAAGCUAAAACAUAUCCAAUUUCCAUAAGCCCACAUAGGAUCCUCGUUUAUAAAAUAAACCCCAUUUCGCUUAAAGCCACAAGACUUAAACAAUAAUUUAAAUCAAUACGUAAAGAAAAGUGCGACCUUCCAAAUAAACAUGAAUUUCUCAACAUCGUCAACAGCCCAGAAAAUUAAAAUUACAAAAAAUAAUCAUAAGCUAAAAUAAAACAAACCCAGUAAUUAAAUUGACAAAAAAAUAUUAAGCCAUUACCAAUUGUUAAAAUAAACCUCUCUGCCUUUAAAGUCGUUGAAAUCCUCCUCUACAAUUCUAGGCAUAGGCGAACCUUCUAUAGCAAACAAAUUAACUAACUUCUCAACAAUUAUCUCAAAUUCAAGCAAAUGGGUUUCGAGUAGCGAACAAAAAAAGUGAAAUUUGAGCAGGAAAAUAAAAAAACUCUGAUGAAAGAAGCCUCAAUUAGGGUUUCGCUUUGUUUUUCGAUUUGGGGAAAAAAAGAAAAAGGAAAGAGAAGCCUCAAUUAGGGUUUCACUUUGUUUUCGAUUUGGGGAAAAAAGGAAAAAGGAAAGAGAAGCCUCAAUUAGGGUUUCACUUUGUUUUUCGAUAUGGGGAAAAAAGAAAAGAGAAGCCUCAAUUAGGGUUUAGCUUUUCAUUAUCUGUCUGAAUUAAUUGAAUUGAGUUUGCAAAUGGACAACUGGAAACAAAAGAGAUCGAGAAGAGAAAAAGGAAAAAGAGAAGGAGAAAGCAAGAUAGUGAUAGGGUUUGGUUCAAAUAUUUGCGUCCAGAAACGAAAUAAAGUUUCCAAGUCUGGGUUAUAUUUUGCUUUUGUUAUUUUAAUUUUGUUUUUUAAUUUAUUGCUGCUAUUAUAUCUUAAUUCUACAAGGUCCAAUGGUGUAUUGUCCAUAUGUUAAAGCUUUGAAUUUUAAAAGUCCUAGGUUCGAGUUGGAGUUAAAGCAAAUUUUAAUGAUUUUUUUUUAAUCUUUAAUGCUUCAAUGUCAGUGAUCACUGAUGUUUAAUUUACUGACACAUCAGUAUCAAUAAUUUAUGAUACCUAUUUCUUAAAAGCGGAAAAUGGUGCAUAUGUACACAAUUACUGACACUUUUUACAAAGUGUCAGUAGCUAAGUGUCAGUAAAAGUCAUUUUUGUAGUAGUGCACCUUAGUUAUUUCUUUUGUCCUUAACAGCAGAAAAACACACCUAGAUUUUUACUAGCUCAAUCUCCCCUCAAAUAUAAAUUUAUUUAUUUAAAUUAUAUUUAACCUUGUUCAGGUGAGGACAACCACUAAAUGAUUCAAAUCAGAUCCUAGAGAAAAUCCGGUCAAAACAUGUAUCUAUGUAUAAUAUUUAACAUCACCCUAACAAUCAAUACGAAUGCACUUGGAUUUAUUCUUAAUAGUACACAAAGUGGAAAAAGCAUGACAAGCAACACUCGCACACUCGAGGCUCAAUAUAAGUACGAACGUCAUAAUUCCAAGCAACAAACAAUGACCAUCAUUACUAAUUUUUUCUGAAAGCCACCAAAUUGGAAAAGUACUGCCAAGUAAUUAAUUAACGACUGCGACUUGCCAGAUUAAGCUUAUCCAAUGCUGAGAGUUCAUUAUUCUUCGAGGUUUGGUUAUUGUAAAUGUCUUUUAGAGUAAUUGCAGGAUAGAGCGGAGGAUUUUCUUCUGAUAGCAACUCUUUAAUUGGACCAUAUCGUCUCGAGCAACUAUUAUUCAUGAAAAAACUUCCGAUUGAAAUUCUGGAGUCUUCCUUAUUUGAUAACACUCUAUGAUAGGCACUCUUGAACUUAUCGUUGGUAAUCAGCUGCAUAAACACGAACACGUUGGUAAUCAGCUGGAUAAACACACACUUCAUAUAAACCAUAAUUAAGUUAUCUGAUAGAGAUUCAUGCUCGGGUGUAGACGUUCACAUAAUUUUGUAAGGACGAUUCUUUCACAGUAUUGUGAAAGAAUUGUGUCCGCACAAGAUUUAGUGCGAACGUCCCACUUGAGAAUUUUCAAUUUGAUGGAUAGUAUUUCUUAAUAAGCUAUCUAACACACACUUGCCUGCAUCAUGUAGCCUAAGUUUACAACUAGAGUUCCCGGAACAGGGGCAAUGUCAAACCAUUGAUCUUCGUGAAAGACUUGGAGGCCACCAAUUUGAUCUUGUAUGAGCACAGUGACAAAUCCAGGGUCAGAAUGUGUUGCUAUGCCGAUGGACAAUUAUGGUUGAGGGCAUUCAGGGUAGUAACCAUUCCCAAUAGUCAUUUCCUCUACACAACCUAUGUCUUUCAGGUAAUUGGGGUCAAGCCCUAAAGCUUCGGAUAGAAGUUCAAACAGUGUCCCCUGUUUUCCACAUUAGGUUGUUGUAUGCGAUCAUUAUCUCUCUGCAAAUUACUAAAGACAAAAAAUAAUCACUACUAAAAGAAAGGGAGAAUGACAUUUCGACUUUUAGAAAUUAUUUUUUUAUUGGGGUAACAACUAGAUGAAAUGAGAGUAAUAAAAACUUAUUAGGAACCCAAGUGAUGCAAAAAGUUCUAAGAAAGAGGCAGGUGUUAUCCACUGUAAAAGAAAUAAAAUCUAUUGGUCAUCGUCCACAUACCUGCAAGCUUCAGGAAAAUCUUCAGGAUUUGAAAAAUCGCGACCCACAACACAACUCAAAUUAUCUUUCCAAAAGAGGGUUGGUGCACUAUACAAAUUUAAAUUUGAACAAUAUUUAAUUUUUUUGGAGUAAUCACGAGAAUAAUAUUUCUGCUUAACCUCAACAUCUUGUUGAAAAAACCAAUGGAUCCCAUCAAUGGCAUGAUCCAAAUGCUUGUUGGGAUUCCAUGAUUGAUCACUUGAAAGAAACCCCACUUCUCACGAGCACUUCUAAUUUGGUCAAUUACCUGAGAACGCAAACUUGAAUCCCUGUGUAUUCUUUUAAGGUCUAUGAUAGGGAUGCUGAUUUUGGGGUCCCUGCAGAUUGGCUUAUCAUCAAACUUAUGUUUAGUGUGAUGAUCUUGAAUGAUGAUCUGUGGAAUGGUUGUGAUCCCAGCAUCUACGAGUCCCUUAACACCAGCUUUCGUGUCAUCAAAAGCUUUCCACUCGCUAACUCUGUCACAAGUAAUGCUUCCCAUUGCUUGGUGAAUUGUCUUUUACCUGGUGAAUUAUGAAGUACAAAUGCUGACUUGCGGGUGAUUGCUUUUGGUAUAUGCCGUUUAUAUGAAUAUGAUUCCUAGCUUGCCACGUGCAACAUGUUGAAAUAUAACGAUAGCAUGAAGAUGUGGAAAUUUGUAAAAUUUGAUCCUGCGUUAUUUAUCAUGAUUAAAUUAAUUAUAAAUUAUCAAUAAUAGUCAAUUCCGGGGACCACCAACUACUGGGUGGCACAUCACAAUAAUAAAUUAUCAAUAAUAGUCAAUUCUGCAUUAUUUAAUAUUUAUGUGGAUAAAAUUUCAAUUAGCUACACUACAUUGUUGUUUGAUAGUUAACGUUUCACCUUCUCCAUUUGUAAAUAUUAUUAUGGACUUAUAGUGUGGCUUAAAAGCUAGAUCUUAAAUGAAAAGAAAGCUUUAAUGGUGAAAUAAAAAUUUAAAUAAAUGAUAAAGGGAUUAAAGGUUAACCUAAUGUUAACAAAAAUAACUGCAAAAUAUACAUGUUUUAUCAUGUUAAUUGAUGUUUUUCCAUUAUGCACAUAAAAAAGAUCUAUUUUACAAUUGUUUCUGUUGGCGUUGGGGCAGAUUUUUUUUUAGUCUAAUUAAGUAUAUCAUAAGUUAAUAAUAGUGCGUAUUUUAACUUUAAUAAAUUUGGCCACUUAGAUUUUUAAUUUUGACUCCUUCCCUAAUCAAUCAAGAAAAAGAAUGCUUUUCUCCAUAAAAAUUAAAAUAGAAAAUUCAGCAAGGACAUAACUGCGGAGAUGUUUGAUCCUGGAUUUAUAUAUCAAAGCAACAUCAAAAUUAUAAUAAUACUUCCUUGUUACCGAGAAGAGAUAUAUUCAAGAGCACUAGCCUUAUAAAGCCUUAACAAUACUAAACUACCUACAUGGAAUCUAAUGCGUACAUGCAAUGCUUUCUAAAGUGAAACUGUCGCUUGAAAAUAGAAUUCAUGUUCAGCAGCCUCCCUCUAUCCGAGCUCCAAUUUUAUAACAAGGAAGCUAAAUAAGAUGAUUUAGAUGGCAUCGGCAUCUGUAGUAUCGUUUGUCUGUAGUCCCUCAUUAUCUACGAUCUGAUCGCUCCCUAUAGUAUUGUUUGUCUGUAGUCCCUCAUUAUCUACGCUCUGAUCACUCCCUAUGUAGAGGAUCGACAAGAGAAAAUUGUAGCACACGUUCACAGCACUAAUAACUGUUAAACUCUUAUAGUACUUGUCAAUCCUACUAUAAUCCAAGGUUUCAGCAAACUCGCCUUUGUUUGCCAAAAUGAAAAAGAUGUUAAAAAUGCUUCCAAUUCCGACGAAAAAAUAACUUAUUGCUGAUCCAUGGUACUCCAUCCGUUCAGGAAAAUGAGAGCUCGAGUAUUCAUCACAUCCAUACCAAGCAAGCCCUUCCAUAAGACCUAAUAGACAGAAUUGUGGAACAAGCCAAAACAUGCUCAUAUUUUCCAAUUGUUUGAGCUUUUCCAACCUGCGAACCUCAACCUGCCAUGCCACUACACAGCAAACUGUAGUCAUCACCAUUCCAAUGAAUGUUCUCAACACUUGAGCUUGUCUCUUUUUAGUUUUUGGAACAAAAUUGGAAAUUAAAUUUUUUGACAGAUAAGAGAUCGUUGCACGAAUUAUCCCUUUAAAAGUUCGUAGAAAGAUUAAGUAUCUUUCAGAAAUCAUGUUGGCUCCCUGCUCAGGAAAAAAUGUAUUUCCUGCUGACAGAACCAAUCCAAACACAAUGAAGCUAGACCACAAUGGCAACAAUUUAAGAAGAGAUUUUGACUCCCUGACCUGGGCCACAGUGCAAAGUGUGCCUGCCUCUUCUUGUUCGUUAGAAGUACUUGAUGUCUCUAUAAUUGCCGCUUUGUCUAUCCAUCUGCAAUUCAAAGAAUUAAUUUAUUGGUAAUUUUUUAGGAAAAUAGAAAGCGACAGCUCAUGGUUUGGCAAAAUGAUCACACAGACGCGUUUAUGAAUACGCCCUUUUGGACAAAUCUUGGAGGUCGGUGUGACUAUUCCCGAACACAAAAGGGUAUUAAUGUGUCCAUAAAGAGGUUUAUAUAAUUAUUAAUAAAAAUAAGAGGGUCUCCCCGACAAUUUUGCCAGACCACGGGCCGGGUGUGGGUGUAUACAUGUUAGGCAUAUACCUGAGUAAUUUGAUUCUGGGUGACAAGUGUAAUACGUUUCCCUCAUCAUUACUGAAGAACAGCUCCGGAGAAAGAGGAUAAUUGAGAUGCUUUUUCUUCAGGGAGGUUUUAAUAACGCGGAUUAUAGCAAAACGGUCAAUAGGAGGUAUUUGUCUACUAUGAUAAAAGGGAAUACCCGACAACAAGAGGAUCAAACUGCCCCCCAUAAACAACAAUGUGAACAUGAAAGUCUUCUUCCAUGUCUUAAUAUUAUUUGCAUAGAAUGCCGCAGCUGCACCACAGCACCAGGCAAACCGCCACCACACUCUUUUCUGAGCCAUUACUUGAUCCUCAUUUGAAUUUUCUGUUCUCCCUCCUUUACCAUGUUCUCUUAAUUGAUCGGCAAGAAAUGGUCCCAAAAGAGGCGCCGCUCCAACUUCACCCACUGCUAACAGGAUAAUUCCUAUCAUGUUGAGUAGCUCAAAGUUGGUUUCUGAAAAUUCUCUGGACGCUGUACAGAACAAUAGCCCCAAUGCCUGAAACGAAAAUUGUUGGAACUAAUUCUAUAGCAUGACAUUAUGAUCCUAGAAAUGCUUUUCUUAAUCAUUAUUAUAAUCAAAGUGGAGCCAAAAUGAAUUAAUGUCACAUCAAUUGUAAUUUAACUAUUGAGAUCUCUAGCAUUAUUUUUAUAAGGGUAAAGCUCCUAAUAUCCUCUUAUUAGGUAUGUGUGUGUAUAUAUAUAUAUAUAUAUAUAUAUAUAUUUUUUUUUUUACAUGCUGUGAAAUUUAACAUUUACUGCAAAAUAAUAAAUUUUUAAUUCAGCUCAAAGUACUAUAAAGUCCUGGGUCCGCCCCUGAAUAUAUAUAUUGCUUGCAAUGAUAGACAUAUGUUUUAAUUUCGUCUCUGUUUAGAAGUUUAGCAAAUUCAAAACAUAUUAACUUACAAGGAUGUAGGAGACAGUUGAAAAAAUGAGGAUUCUGAGAGGACGAAUGGCAUAACACGAAAUCCAGGCGGCAACAAUCGUAAGAGUUGCUAAUAUUACAUCCUGAACACUCGUAAAUAUUGCAGCUUUCUGAAGUGUGAAUACUUUUGAAUAUUCGGAGUCGGAGAAGUAAGUUAUCAAGACGCCCACUAUAGCCAAGUCUACGAGUUUGCGGCUUAUCAACAAACCUGGAAUCAAAAUAAUCAUUAGAAAAAAUGUUCGUGCUCACUAAAAAAAGCUUACACAUGAGGACUGCAAGAACAACGUGAGAGAACUAUUGUCAUGUUUUUAUAAUUUAGCCCAACCUAAUCAAAGAUCUUAAGUACACCUCUCUUAACUGAAAUUAUUCUAGGGGAUUAUCUAUUUAGGAAUCUCAAAGUUCAUGAGCUCUUAAUACAUACACACAUACAUAUACAUACAUACAUCAUCAUGUUGUUAAAGUAAUGAUGUUAGUAAAAUACAAAAAAAAUAUAUGUACAUGUAUUAAAUUGUAUGGUUUAACAGUAUUAGUACAAAUAAAUAAAUUACAUGAUUUUGUAGUGCAUUGAAAAUUAAUUCUAUUAAACUAUACAAUUUACUAGUGUGUCUCCAUUAAAAAAAAUAAAGACCCUCAUAUAUAUAUAUAUAUAUAUAUGUAUACAAGUUUAUGUUCUGAAUAAAUACAUUUUUAAAAGAUAGGAUUACCUAAGGCCCCACAUGCAAAAUUACCUGACAGAAAUGCAGCAGCCUUACAAAAGCAGACGUAAUAUCGUACCCAAGUUAUGAACCUGUUUUGAAGCUUCAACAGCUGAGAAAAUGGAAACAUUGUAGUUUCUGAAACUGCUUUUAUCUGCAAAGACUUCUACUUGUGAGUUGUGAAUCCCGAGACGAUGAAGAUUUUGUAAUUAUGCCAAAGUCUUUUAGGUAGUUUAUUCAAAUUAAAAAAUAAUAAGUCGCACUUCAAGACCACCUAUUGGUCACAUCAAGACCACCAUUUGGUCACAUAAGUCUUCUUUUUUUUCUUGUGACUUUCAUCCAGCUACGGUCCAACAGGUGCACCGUGCCCCUCUUUUUGACAGCACCCCUUACUUUCUUCUGUAUUUAUAGUUUAUUAAAGUAAUUUCUUUUUCCUCUUUCUUUCACCCCUCACCUUUACAAUCUUCCAAUUUUUUCCAUUUUCAAUUAAACCUGUAAUCAACCAAUUGCAAGCAAUAAGAAAAAAGUUGGCAAGCUAUUUGCUCUAUAAUACACAAGUAAUUAGGGGUGGGCAAAAUAUCCGACCUGAUCCGACUCGAAAAAUUUUAGAUUCGAAUCGGAUCGGGUUGUUAAUAUAACCCGAUCGGAUGAAAUAUUGCAAACCCGAUCGGGUUGUGAUCGGAUCGGAUAAAACCCGAUCCGAUCCAAAAACCUGAUCGGGUUGCUAAAAAAAAAAAAAAAAAUCUAUGGCCAAACACACACACACGGCACACAGCACACCACACAUAAUCACACAAAUCAGUGAAAUCAAAUACUCAAAAGGUUACACUUUACAGUUUACACAAACACAAAACACACAAAAACAAAAAAAUCACAACACCCAACCCGUGAACCCACCCUCAAGAAGCAAGAAAACAUUCUCUCCUUCCCGCAAUCUGCUGCUGCCGUGUUGCGAGUCCGGCCAUCUGCUGCUGCGUCAGCGAUCUGCUGUUGCCGUGCUGUUGUCAUGCUGCUGCCGUGUUGCGUCCAGCCAUCUACUGUUGCGUCCACGAUCUGCUGCCGCCGUGCUGCGUCCACGAUCUGCUGCCGCCGUGCUGCGUCCAGCCAUCGCGAGGAAACUGCUGCGCGUCCAGCCAUGCGCAAGCUGCUGCUGCACGCCCACCGAUCUGCUGCCGAAAACCCAGCCGCCGAUCUGCUGCUCCAAGGCUCAAGCUCCAACCCGACCCGAGUUUCUCCCUUAGUCCCUUAUGUGUUUUGAAUUUUGAAGCUUUCAUGGUGUAUUGGUAUAUAUGUUUUGAAUUGACCCGUUUAAUUUGACCCGAAUUGGUUUAAUUUGACCCGAAUUUAAUAUGAUCCAUUUUUUAUUCGAACCGAUUCAACCCGAAUUCAACCCGAUUUUUGACCUGAUCCGAAUAUAUAUCGGAUCGGAUCGGGUCGGGUUGUAAGUUCGGGUUGUAUUCGGAUCAAUGUUUGCACAACCCGAAUAACUCGAAACCCGAUCGGGUUGACCCGAACCUGACCCGAACCCGAUUUUGCCCACCCCUACAAGUAAUAAUGAAUUGAAGUUUUUAUAUAAAAAAAUUACAUAGAUGUAAUUUUUUUACGCACACUAUUUAUCAUCUACAAUGAAAUUAACAUGUAAGUAAAUUGCUUUUUUUAUCUUUUAUUAUAUGUAUUCUUCCCCUUUCUCCCCCGUAUGUCUUUUCAUUUUCUCUUUGAAUAAUCUAACCUAAGGCUUUCUAAUAAUUGGUUUAUUGUUAUUAUUUUUAUAAGUAAACCUUCUCUUUGUUAUGUCAAUAGGUUUAUUUAAAAAAAAAAAAUUCGUAAAUGACCAAAAGUGAGAACCUUAAUAAAAAUUCAAAACCUAUCUUAGUUUUUGUUGUCUUUGUUAAUGCAUCUUGCAUGUUUGAUGUCUUAAUUAUAACUUGUGAGAGUAAGUACUGUAAUACAAUGAUGAUUAAUGAUUAUUACUAAGAGUAUUCAGAGAAAAAGAAGUUGGUGUAAAAUUUUAUAAACUUUGAGUUUUCUAAAUUUUCACUAAACAAUAGGGAUUGCAUUAUUAAUAACUAAAUAAACACAUCCAUAACCUUGAAACUACAUUUGUGUAAGUUCUUUCUCUUUGUAAUGGUUACGAAGACUGACAAUUUUCUAUUGAAGUUAUUUAUACAUGUAAUUCUUUUUCAGCAUGUAAUACAUUUAGGAAAUGAGUAAUGAUUAAGUACAAACACUUUUAGAUAAACAAUGUUGUACGAACUUAUGUGAUAUUUUUUAGAAAAAAGGAUCUGAACAUCCUUAAGAUUUUAAAAAAUGGUCAUUUAUACUUUGAGUUUUCAAUACAGAACAUCAAGACACUUUUUGACUAUAGUAUUCUUAAUAGAUAAUAACAAAAAAUAUUGAAUUUAAACAUUUUAAUAAAUAUAAAUAAAAUUUAAAUAGUUUAAUAUGUCUAGUAGACUAAUAAUAUUAGAAAUUUCUAGUAGACUAAUAAUAUUAGAACAUUUCUUAAUAUGUAAAUAAUUUUUAAAAGAUAAAUUAGUAUAUUUAUUUUAAUAAUAUAUUUUUACUUAUUAUAAAAAUUGUAAAUAAAUCUUUAGGUUAGAUAGAUUUUAAAUUUAAUAAAAUAAAUGUCAUGUACUAAUAAUAUUAAAACUAUUUUAUAUAAUAUUGAAAAUAAUUUAAAUUUUAAAUUUUAAUAUUAUCUUUCGAUUUAUUUUGAAAUUUAGUUUAAUAUAAUUUAAUGUUGUAAAGUAUUAAAAUAUUUUAAAAAUAUUGAAAUUAUUUUAAAAUGUAUAUAUUGUUACAUUUAUUUUAAUAUUAUACUUCUAUUUAUUAUAAAAUAUUAAAAAUAAUAUUUUAAUUAAAAGGGAGUUUUGGUGUCUCUUACUGAAAAAUAGAGUGUACAUAAUCAUUUUUUCAAAUUUUCAAGGGUGUACAUGUCAUUUUUCUUACUUUUUUAUAAUCAAUUGAAUAAAAAAAAAGUCAUUUGGCCACAUAAAUUAUUUCUAAUUUAUAUUUUCAAUCAACAAAUCAUAAUGUGUCAUAUCUAUUUGUAUAAGUAUUUAUGAACAUAAAAAAUUAAGUUUAGGCACUAGUCGGGUUGGAAAUCAACUCAUCCAAACCCAUGUAUAGUGCUAGUUGGGUGAGUUGGACUUAUCUCGAAGACCCAUUUUCUGUCUUUGAAAUAUCAAUAUGAAAUUAAAAUAAUUAAAAAAUAAUUUAAUUGAAACAACUAAAGAUAGAAUACAAAAUUACAAAUAAUAACUAUCCCUGAAACUUCAUUGUUAAUAAAAAUAAUUAUUUGUAUAGGAUCCUAAUUACACCAUAAAAAGUAAUAGGAUGAAUUCAAGAGUUGGGUUUGAAAAUUUUCAACACCUAGUAAAUAUAGUGCAUUUUCUCCACCCCUAUGAAAUUAGGGGUUGGCUUUCUACUUGAUUUUAAGUAGCGAAAAUGAUCAAAACUACCUUAUUGUUUGUUGAAACUAUAGGGUGAAUUUAAGAGUUGGGUUUGAAAGAUGCAAUAUGCUCAUAUGUAUAUAUGAACAUAUUGCAUCUUCACUAUCUUAUCCCCAGAAUUUUUGCACCAAAUCGUGGUAUAAGAAUAAAAAUUCGCAACUCGAAUCAACAAAGUAUAUCACUAAGUUAUUCUGCAAGCCGCCAAAUUGGAAAAUGUCCCAAAUAAUUAAUUAACCACAGCGACUUGAUAGCUUAACUUUUUCCAACGCUGAGAGUCCUUCAUUCUUCCCUAUUGAGGAUUGGUUAUUGUAAACGUCUGUUGGAGUAACAUGGGGAUAGUGCGGAUGAUUUUUUUCGGAUAGCAACUAUUUAAUUGGACCAUAUUGUCUCGAGCAACUGUUAUUCAUAUAAAAAACUUCCAAUUGAAAUCGUUGAGCCUCGCCUUCUUGACAACACUCUGUGAUAGGCACUCUUGAACGCGACACUGGUAAUCAGCUGCAUAAACAUAUAAAAGAACACUAUAAUUAAGUUAUAUGAUGGAUUCAUAAUAGUCAAAGUUGUGCAUAACAUCUACUUGCCUGCAUCAUGUAGCCUAAGUUUACAACUAGAGCCCCGGAAACUGGGGUAAUAUCAAACCAUUGAUCUUCACAAAAGACUUGGAGGCCACAAUUCGAUCUUGUAUGAGCAUAGUGACAAAUCCAGGGUCAGAACGUAUUGUUACGCCAAUUGUCAAUUUCGGAUGAGGGCUUUCUGGGUAGUGACUAUUCCUAAUAGUCAUUUCCUCUACAGAACCUGUGUCUUUCAGGUAACUGGGGCCAAACCCUAAAGCUUCAGACAAAAUUUCAAACAGAGUGAAUUAGCAAUUGACGUUGUUGGAGAAAAAUCAAUUUUUAUUUUUUUUUUAAAAAAAAAACUUUUUAGAGUCGAUCUCAUACAAUAUAUAAGAAUUCAUAAUUUAGAAAUUAUACCUUGAAAAUAUGAGAAAAUGAACAAUCUUUGCUUUUUCUACUGAAGUGAAACUAGGCUCCCAUAUCACGAUUUGUCACCACCACACCUGUUAGAUCAUAAUCUGUCACCACCACGCUUGUUAGAUCACGAACUAUCACCAAUGAUUUUCUAGAUUAUGACUCAGGUUUGAUCUGCACUUGACGUGUGGGUGCUUUUAUCACUACCAAUAGCAACUAGUAUGAGAAAAUUUUUCUCUCAAGAUUAAAGAGAAAUAUUCUUUUUCUCUUAUCUGUAUAAUGUGGCCUUAUAUCUUUUCAAGAGAAAAUAAGCCCUUUUAUAUCUUAUCUAGUGGAAAUCCUAAGCUCUAUAUUUUUUAUUUUUUAAUUCUAUUAACACAAGGCCCCUUACACAUAAGCAUAUUACAUGGAGCCUCCUACUAAAUAAUAUAUUUAGGCUUUUAACCCAAAUAGCUAAUUAUCUUACUUAUUAAUCCAGUAGCGGCGCAGUCAAUUAAAUGAGCUAACCCAAAGAUCAUUUGAGAACAUACAAUAGUGGCUACAAUAAUUAGGCAUGUAAUCAAACUAGCCCAAUUAUUUAAUUCUAAAUCUACUCCACUAAAAGAUUGGAACUGACUUCCACAAUUGUAUGCUUGAAUAAUAAUUCAUCCCAAACAACAUUGAUUUCUUUACUGCAUAAUCCUUUGUACCACAUCAUUAAUUAAAUUGAUAUCUCAACUGUCCAAUCAAUUUAACUACAUCUUGUUCCUUGAUUCUUACUGGUUUUCUCUAAUGAUCAUUUUCAACAUACUAAAUAUGUCGACACACUCUGACCAAAGAAUUCUAUGAUCAAGUGCCGAAAACCUAUCAAGAGAUGUGUUGUACAAAUUCUAUAUUGUCAAUCUAUAACUCCAAUACUCAUAAUUGGUCUCAUCAAGAUACCGGAUAAUCUUGACUACAAGUAUGUGUCGUGCCCAUUGGUAAUUCAAAUGGAAUAACAAUUAUAAUCAUGAAAUCAUAAUUAACUCAAGAUUAAGAUUGCAGUAAAAUCCACGUCUAUGAGAUUUAAUAAGUCUGACAGUAAUUACAAAGUUAAUUAAAUCUCAUAUGUUAUCUUGUUCAAUGUAGUCUUACUAUAUCAAUAAAUUCAUACAUGAAUAAGACAAAUCAUUCAAUGAAUUCAUUACAGUCUAUACCUAAAUAAAGUGCCCAACUUUAUUUAUCAACUGCGAAUUAAAUUUAUUUAAUCAUAAGAUAACUUGUAUUUAUGUCUUCUAUAAUCCACAUGGUGAUUCUUGUACAAAUUUAUUGAACUCGCAAGUGCACGAAUAUAUUGUAGAAUAGAUUAAUGGUGACAAGUGUCGAUCCCACGAGAAAGUGGAUUUUAAUUAUGUGUAAAAUUAAUUUUCUAUGAGGGUGGUUGGAUUUGUGGUGAAAAUGAUUUGGAAUAUUCUAAACAUUAAAUUAGAAUGGCAGGAAUAAAUUAAAGGAAAAUCUAUUGAAAUAAAGCACUUGGGUAUCUGGAUCUGCAUUAACAUGCACCAUGUGCUAAAUAUUCCUUAGUAAUGCCAAUUAAAUCAUGAGGGGGGUUUCUACUCCUCAUGAACCACACUCUAAUCAAUAUGGUGUUAAGGGCUUAUUGUGGCAAACAAUAAUAACCUUGUACUAGGGAGUCGGUUAAAUCAGUGCAGUAUCCAGACAAGAUUAUUACUAUUUGUCGACGAAAAGUCAAAAUAUCAACAAUAAUUAGAGGAGAAGAGAAAGUAAAUUUACUAAAUAAAGCCCAUGACACAUGUUGAGACUUCACCAACCCAAACUUGAAAGAAAAUUAGCUACUUAUAAUUGAACUAAGGGUAAAAUGAGAAUUUAUUAAAAUACAUAGAAAAUACAAGAUGGAGAAGGAAUUACAGAAAAUAGGCUCAAAAAUGAAUUCAAAAAUGCCAAAUUAGGGAGGAGCCCCCCUUUUAAUAGAUACACUGAGUAAAUCAUGGCCAUCAGAUUAAAAACAUUUUGGACGCUCAAGAUUGCGCCACGUCAUCGGUCAACAGUACGUGGUUUGACCACGUGGUUUGGUUGUAAAUAAUCUCGUGUAUAUGCAUGUACCGUACGCACUAUUUUUUAUCCACUAACAUGCUGCCACGUCACCGAUCAACAGUACAUAAGAAUUUUAGUCUAAUAAAAUCGUGACAUCUCAUCAGUCAAUACCACAUCAUCAGUCAAUGCCACGUCAUCAUUUUGUAUAUGUGAAUAGUGUCGUGAACAGUAACAUGGAUAGUAUCGUAUCUGUGAAUAGUACCGUACAUGUGAACAAUUCCAUUUUUCCUUUUAAACUCCUCCUAAGAUUUUCGACUGUCCUGAUCUCAAAAGUGAUGUCUGUUUUGCUGUAUGAUCUCUCGUUCAUUGUGAAAUGACCAUGAUGCCCCUAAAAUACAUAAAAUAUUUAAUUAUAAUAUAAUACACAUAAUUAAAUCAUAAGGAACUUAAAUACAUAAAAGUAUGAAUGUUAGUGAAACUUGAAGUGUAAAAUGACGAUUUUCUCCUUCAUAAAUAUACACUUUCUAACACUCAAAAGUGAUCACAUAAAUACAUAUAAUAUGAUUAAAUGGACUUUAAUCAAAAUAUUAAUGCAAUUAAGAUAUUUGAAUAAAAUACCUUAUUUAUUUUAUUAAUCAGAAAAAUUGUUUAUUACAAUUAAAUAAACACUUAUGCUUUUAAAGAGCAUAUUUUCCCAACAGGCGUAUCUCAUAAAGCCAACUUCGGUGGUUGGGGUAUCCUGCCGUGCAACACUGUAUCUCUUAUAGUCAACUUUUACGACUUGGACAAUUUGUAUUUUACCGAUUGUCCAUUGAAUUAAUUUGUUUUUGCUGAAAAUGAAUAUUAAAAAAAGAUUAAAAUAAAUAAAAUUAUAAAUAAUUAAAAUCACAGAUUGUCCCAGACCACCAAUAAAACCUCUAAAACUAAAAUUAUAAGCUCCUCCGUAAGAUCCACCAUUAUAUUUCUUAUUACCACUAGCAUUCUUUCAAGGAUUAAAAUGGUUUUGAGUUACAUUAGCUAACAAGUUAUGUGUGACAUCACUAGCAAUUUUACCUCUUGUCUGUUCAACUCUAUUCUCCUGAUUUAGCAGUAAAGAGUAAAAUUCAUCAAGGCUGAUCUUAUCACCUCCAGCUAACACACUGAUAACUAAAGACUCAUAAUCAGAUGAAUCUAGUCUAGUCAAAAUAUAUUGAACAAAAUCACUUAACUCAACAGAUUUUCUAGCUAAAGCCAGACUGUCAGACAAUCUCUUCAUUUUAACAAAGUAAUCAAUCAUAGACAUUGAUCUUUUUUUGAGUGUUUGAAUAUGCAUCUUAAAGGCAUUAUUCUAGCUUGAGAUUGUAAAGUAAACAUACUUGUGAGUGUAUCCAAAAGCUCUUUAGCAAUGGAGCAAUGAACGAUUGUAGCGAGUAGAUUUUGCUGAAUAGAUGACAACAUCCAACUCAAAACUAAUUGAUCUGUCUUCAUCCAGGCUGUGUAUGCUGGAUUGACCUUUCGAUUUUCAGUAAUAGUUGAGGACCAACUUCAGUGCUAGCUAGUGUGAGAAAUUACUCCGAACAAGUUUGAUCACCAUUAAUGAAAUUAUCCAGAUCGUUUCCUUUGAUGGAUGUUAAAACCUGAGUUUGUCAGACAAUGAAAUUAUUAUGAUCUAGCUUAACAGGAUUGAUAAAACUAUAGGAUCCAGAAAAUUGAUUAGAACUGACCAUUGUAGGCUCUGAGAUCAUGAUAGAAUUUGUAAUAUAUAUGUCUGGAAAGCAAGAAAAUUAAGGAGAAAAAGAUAGAAAGAAAAGAAGAAGAAUUUAGAAUAUGUUAAUUGUUCAUUACAUUACAAAUGUGAUUAUAGCCUUUGUAUUUAUAUUAAGUGAAAUGCUUAACUAUAAUUUGUUAUAACUGGAAUAGGUGCUAAACAGUUCGUUAGCUAGAAGGCUGAGAUGGCUAACUAAUUAUUCCACGUUAGCAAGAGCACUCAUGUAUGGUCCUCAUCCGUACUGUAAUUAUCAUACUCUGUAACAGUUCUUCUACAUCUUCUUGCUCUUCAGGACCAAGUGUACUUCGUGGGUCUAUAAUUGCUGCUUUGUCUAUCUAUUUGCAAUUCAAAGAAUUAAUUUAUUGGUCAUUUUUUUAGGAAAAAAGAUAACGAAACAUAGUUGUUUGGUAAAAUAGUCAUGUGAACUCUUUCUUCAAAACAUAUAUAAAAACAAACCUUGGAGAUCAGUAUUGUCUAUGUGAUAAUUUCUAAAAAUAAGAGGUCUACCUGACAAUUUUUUCAAACCAUGGGAUGUUGGUAUAUACUCUUUAAGUAUGUACCUUAGUAAUUUGAUUCUAGGUGACAAGGGUAAUUCAUUUUCAUCAUCAUUACAGGAGAAUUGAUCUGCAAAAGAAGGAAAAUUUAGAUGCCUUUUCUUCAGGGCAGCUUUAAAAAGACAGAUUAUAGCAAAACCGUGAAUAAGAGGUAAUUGUUUACUAUGGUAAAAGGGAAUACCCAACAGCAACAAGGCCAAACUGCUCCCAUAACCAAUAUUGUGAACCUCAAAGUCCUCCGUCAUGUUUCCAGAUUAUUUGCAGGGAAUGCUGCAACUACAUUACAACACCAGGCAAGCUGCAGCUAUACUUCUUUUUGAGCCUUUACUUAUUUCUCAUUUGGAUUUUUUGUUCUCCCUUCAUCACCAUGUGCUCUUAAUUGAUCGACAAGACAUGGUCCUAAAAGAGGCCCCAUUCCAAAGUCACCCACUGCUAACAAGAUCAUUCCUAUUACGUUGUGUAGUUCAAAUUUAGUUUCUAAGAAUUUACUGGACGCUGUAUAAUACAAUAGCCUUAAUGCCUCCAACAACAAUAGUCGGAACUAAUUGUAUGGCAUAACAUUAUGAUCCUAAAUAUGCUUCUUAAUCAUUACUAUAGUUAGGAGCGGAACAAAAUUGAGAUUUAGGGGGCCAAGUGUAAUUAAGGUAAUUAUUUCAGGAUUAGAGAGUAUUAGUUAUUUUCUGGGGUUAGGAGAUGGGGUUCACGUUUAUGAAGCCACCAUAUAAAGAAAAACAACUAGUUUGAAAGUUGAAAUUACAAAUUUAUAUAGUGUGAGAUUAUUUCAACCUACUAAAAUAUAUGUUAUUUUAAAGACUAAUGAGCUUGCGGCUUUGAAAAGGUUGGAAUGUUAUUUGGUUGGAGAGGGACUCGGUUUCAACUUUAACUUGUCUUACGAGUACCAAAUUCAAGCCGUCGUAGCAUCUGCAUAUCAUAUAGUUGAAUUGUUUGAGAGCCUAAAAGUCAAAUAUUGUGGAUCAUAUCAAAUGCCAAAUGUUGGAUAAUCUUUUCCAAAUGUUGGAUAACAAGAAAAGGGAUGCACACAAGACCGCUGACUGAAAAUAGAAAUAAUUGGACAAAUAAAGCCCAAACCACAACUCAUCAUAAUCUUUUUGUUACUAAUGGAAGCUAAAAGCACCUGAGUUAUCAACUAUUCACAUUUUCUAUUAGAUACUGAUGCUUGAUACAUUCAUCAUGAUAUCCAGAAACAAUAAAAUUAAGCUAGUACAAAGAUAUCUAAAUGAAGAUGAUAAUAUCAUAGGCAAGAUAUGGUCCAAUUGAUUAGGAAAAUCAAGCUAAGGUAAUUUUUUUUAAUACUAAAUGCUUAAUUAAAAAGGACAUCAUUAUAUGUUUUAUACAUGCACAAAUUGUCAUUUAUUUGAGGCAUGUCUAAUAUUUAGUAGAGUGACAAAUAUACUUGAAAAUGUAUAAAAAUUAUCAAAUAAUAUGUGAGAAAUAUAGUUAUUUUUGUUGUAAUAUUAAUGCAAUAAACUUUUAUCGUAUCAUAUCGGCAUGUUUAAAGAGGAAAAAAAAAACUCAGAGACUCAAAAAUUCCAAACUUUAAUGUGUAGCUGGCAUUUAUUUGUAGGCUCAAUUGAAGUACAGAAGUCACAAUUCCAAACAACAAACAAGCUAUCAUCACUAAUCCACCAAAUUGGAAAACAUCCUCAAUUAAAUUAACCACCGCGCCUUUCCAGCUUGAGUUUUUCCAAUGCUGAUAGUCCUUCUAUUGAGGAUUGGUUAUUGUAAAUAUCUUUUAAGGUAAUUUCAGGAUAGAGCGGAGGAUUUUCUUCGGAUAGCAACUCUUUAAUUGGACCAUAUUGUCUCGAGCAACUGUUGUUCAUAAAAAAACUUUCGAUUGAAAUUCUUGAGCCUUCCUUUUUUGAUAACACUCUGUGAUAGGCACUUUUGAACUUGUCAUUGGUGAUUAGCUGCAUAAACACACAAUAAAAAAAUCCACUAUAAUUAAGUUACAUGAUGGAUUAAUAAUAGUCAAAGUGAUGCAUAACAUGUACUUGCCUGCAUCAUGUAACCGAAGUUUACAACUAGAGCUCCGGGAACUGGGGUAAUUACGAUCUGCAGUUUUCUAAUUUAACUCAUGCACGCUCGAGGCUUUUGUUUACCCUAGUUUUCAGUAUGAAAAGAGGCGCGCAUCACAUAAUACGGCGGCAAAGAAUUAUCAUUAGAAAAAUUGGAGAGAAAAAGAAGAAGAAGAUCAUAAUUCAAGGGAACAGCUGCAACAUCAUUGAAGAAUCCAGCAGAGUUAUUUGGAUUCACUUUUUGUCGUUCUCGACUUAUACCUUUCUUCUUUCUCUAACUAAUCUAAUGUAUCUCAUGAACAAUAUGUUGCUGAUUGUUUAUCUCUUUCAGAAUAUGAACUAAACUCGCUUGUAUUUGAGUGACAAACAAUCUAAUGGGUUCUUGACUGUUCUUAUGAGUUGCUAUGUCAUUGCUGUAGCAUUUUACUCUAGUAGCUAUUAUUAUAACUUUUAUUUUGGUUGACCACCCAUUUAAUGGUUCAAGUUAAGAUAGGACCAUAAAAGGGCAUGUCUUACUGGAUAUUAUUAUAGUAAUACUUGAUCUUAAUUUAAGUUUCCUAGAUUACGUUUAUCUUGAAUCCCAUAAGGGCCAUACUUAAAGUUAAGAUUUGUGAUAAACUAGACAUAAGUAUUCACCUUGUAGGGUGGAGAGAAUGGAUGUUCAUAAUGUCAUGCCAUAGGUAAAAUAGCAACUGGCCAUUGUUAAGAUGUUUACGGGUAUGAGACUUCCAAUAUGCGACAACUGAGGAUGCAAAUUAAAUUCUGUCCAGUGCUAUAGAAAUUAUUGUAGCAACUGGUGUUAACUUGAUGAAAAGCAGUUAACCCAUAAAAAGAGUUUGAUCAUUCAACUACCUUAUUCUCAUUUGAUUCUUCGACGCAUUUUAUUUAAUUUGUUUCAUUACUACAUUGUUUAACUUUAUUCUCUCACAAUUAUCAAUUUCAAUAGUAACCAACUUUACAUUUGUUAAUUUAGGAAUCAAGUUAGAUUACACUAUCGUGAUUGCUGUAGCAUUUCUAGUAAUAUCAAUCCUUGUGAAGACGAUCUUAAAUAUUCAUCACUUUAUUACUUGUUCUGUACACUUGCACAUUGACAUAAAUAAAAUUUGAUAAAAAAUACCAACAAUGAGAUAGGGGUAAACUUCAGGAUGUGCUGCGCUUUUUAAUUGUUGUGUAGAUUCUUUUGAUUCCUAUCUCUAGUGGAGAACCAGAUGUGAUUUUGUGAGACCUUUCUCCUGAUGGUAGUUUUUCUUUGAGGACUGCUUCAAAUAUUGUGCAUUGGACAAUGCCAAGUGAUGAGGCUUUUUUUGUUAUUUGACAGCGACAUCUUUUCCUGGAUAUCUUUUUUUCUCUAGAGGUUGUGACACAAAUUCUUGACCACAGAUGAUGCCUCGUGUUCGGGGGAUUUCUGCAUAGUUUCUUAGUAUCUUUGUGGUCGGGCUUAUGAGACUUCUAGGUAUUUUCUUUCUUGGUUGCCCUCGAGUUAGGCCAGUUUGGGUCCAUUUUCUAUGUACUCUUGGUUUGCGCUAUGUUGCUUUUCUAUUCCCCCGUACUUUAUUUCUUAAUUGGUAGUGAUGUGCCCUUUCUUGGAGCCAUAUUCGAGUUCUUCUUCCUUGUUUCAUUUUGUGGCGAGUUUAGAAGGCCUGUAAUGCAUUGAAGUUUGACUCAAUGGCCUUUUUUGUUGAUGCUGUUAUUUAUUGGGCAAUGUUGGAUCUUAGGCUUGCUGGUUCUGCCUUUGGUCUUAAACCAUCCCAACUGUGAGGAGUUCUAGGUUCUCGAUUUGUAAAGUUCUUGAGAGUUGUUGUUUCAUCCAAGAGGCUGAUUCUUUUAGUUUUUUGGCAGUGGUCACCACCUGGGGCGGUGAAGCUGACUAUUGAUGGUUGCUUUAGGAGUAAUCCUAGGAUGGCUGCUUCAGAUAGUAUUUUACGUGAUGAUUAGGGUGUGGCUUUGGCUGCUUUUGGUUCCUUCCUUGGGCGCUCACUGAUCUUUCAUGCAGAAUUCAUGGCUGUUUUUUAGGGGUUAGAGUUGGUGCUCAGCUCCAUUAUUCUGUGCUUGACGUAGAGUUGGACUCAACCAUGGUGGCUUCUUGGAUUCUUUUCUAAGGCCUUGUUCAUACGGACUAUACCUAUUCUUUGCAUCGGGUGUGUAGUUUGACAUUUUCUUCUACUUCGUGGUUAGUCAUGUGCUUCAGAAGGUUACUUCUACUGCUGAUUUCUUUGGCCUGCACUCUUCAAGGUCAUUUGUGUUUCUUGGGUUCUCAGGAUAUAUUUGCUAGCUUAUCUAAUAAUCUCCGUUUGGAUAUGUGGGUAAUUUCUCGUAUCAGGCAAUAGGAUUGCUUAUUUAUGUAUUCCAUUUUUUAUCUUGUAUUUUUCUCUUUUCCAUUCUUAUGUUCUUGCAAUUGCGGUUUUGAUUUAUAUUCACCUCCUUAUGUAUUUGAUUCAUUCUAUGAUUUAUAUGAAAGAUAGGAGUUCCACCUAACCCCACCUUUUUGUGGUUAAAAAAAAAAGAUCAGGAAUUCAACCUAGAUCAUCAAGGUAAAACAUCAAAUAGGUUGUAAAUUUAACAUAUGAACGUAAAAGCUUAACAAAACAUUUGAAGUUGCUUGACAACAUAGAAAUACAAGCAAAAAGAGAUGCUAAACAACACAAAAUUUUGAUUGGGUGGGAGUAUUGUUCAUGCUAGCAUAAUAAUGAGGUGCCUGAGAAUACCUAAGACUUUCUUGAUAAAUAAUAUCAUCUAAAAGGUUAGGAAUCACAGAUAAUUGUCCACGUAUGAACAAACCUAGCUCAAAAUGUGAAAUGUGUUAAGAUUUUCAAACAUUUAAAUUAAUAGUUAAUAAUUUCAGACAAAGGAUUCUUGGAGACCUUAAAGUUCACUGAUUCUAUCUUAUGGCUCAUUGUCUCUCUCAACAAUUUAAUUUCUAGAUUAUUUGGCUCCUAUCUAUUAAAAGACAACACCGUUACUAAAAUUAUAAAUUAUAACAGUUAAACCUAAACCUACGUCGUUUAGCAAUUUACGAAAGAAAAAAAUAUAACAAAAGCCAAUUGUUGGAGUAGCAACGUGCCAACGAGAAAACCUCAAGCCAUGUAAUAUCAUGUGUCAACAACUAAAGAAGAACAAACCACCACCCUCUAGGUCGUCGCUGCACUAACGCUGGGCCCGAUUUGAAUAGUUAGAAGUUGUAACAUUAAUUAGGGAAUGAGGGCAAAAUUUUGGACUUCGAUUUAAUAAAAUUGAUUUAAAUGAGUCCCAAUAGAAAUAUGAUUAUAAAUAUAUCAAUAAAAUUAUGACAUGUUUAAAAGAAAAAAAUUAUUUUCACACAAAACAAAAAACACAACCCUUGGAUGUGGGAUGUGUCUAAAAAAUAAUAGGGUGGAAAAAUUAUCACCCUCAAAUUAGAUAUAUAAAUAUUUAAUGUUUUACUCUUAUAAUUUUAUAAUUGUUUUUUUAAAUAUUAGUAAGAGAAAGAUAGAAAUUAAUAUAUAGACAAAUCGAGUCCUUUAUUUUAUUAUUCAUAUCCAUAAAAAGUAACCACUAUGCUAGUCCCACGAACUUAGCAUAAGACGGUAAUUUAGAAAAAAGAAAAAAAAAAAGGAACGUUUUUAGACACCAAAACAAAAGCAAAACAAGCACAAAGCGAGACAUACAAACAAAUUUUAUGCUACUGCAUAGGGGUGUUCGUGGAUCGGAUUUUACGGAUUGGAUAUCAAUCCAUAUCCGAUCCAUGAUUUUGCAGAUUAUAAUUUUUCAAUCCAAUCCAAUACACAGAUUGAUAAAAUUCAAUCCAAAUCCAAUCCAUACAUCUGCGGAUCGGAUGCGGAUUUGACUCAAUCCAUAUCCAAUCCAUACGUCUGCGGAUCGGAUGCAGAUUUGACUCAAUCCAUAUGCAAUCCACCAUUUUGCGCAUUAGUUUUCGAAUUAAAAAUUUUUAGUUCUCUCCAACUAAUGAAAUAAAAAAAAUCUAAUAUAAAAAUAAUUUUGCUACUAAUUAAAUUUAAAAUUGAAUAAAAUUUAAAUAAAUUAAUUGUUUAAAUAAAGCUAAAAUAAUAUAUUUAAAGUUUUAAAAUAUAACACAUCGAGACUAAUUAUUCAAAUAAAGCUACAAUAAUACGUUCAAAGUUUCAAAAUAUAACACACAAAGCUUAAUUGUUCAAAUAAAGUUACAAUAAUACGUUAAUAUAACACCAAAAUUAAUUAUUCAAAUAAAGCCACAAUUAAUUGAAAAUGGCGAAGUUUUGGAAACCAAACACAGUUUGAUCCUUCACCAAGGCUGUUGUGCCUGUCGAAAAGUGGUGAUUACGGAGCCAUUCACGAUGGGAAUCAGGAGAAGCCGUACGGGUGGCGAUCUUGAAGGUUGUGAUUGUGAAAUUGUUCAAUUGGAACCAAUGAAUGUGAAGUGGCUCGAUGGACUUGGGAAAGAAGAUGGCUUGCUCUCGCCAGAAUCGCGCAGCCGAUGUCCUUUAAAUCCGUGUCGAGAGUGUAUCCAACCAGUAUUAAGUGUUGCUAGUGUGUAUGACGGUGGGGAAGUUUAGGGUUUUUUGUUUGUAAAUUGGUUGUAACUUUACGUUAUGUUACUUUGCUUUUGCUAGUGCGUGUGACUUUGCUUUUAUUUUGUUUUACAAUUUUUACAAGUUAUAUUUGUAUAUUUGAUUAUUUAAUUAUUUUUCAUUUUAUAUUAUUAUUAGGUAAUGGCUAAGAUAUGUUAUAAUGUUUAGUAACUAUGUAAUGUCAUAUUUAUAAUUUUUUAAUUAUAUAUAUAUAUAUAUAUAUAUAUUUUUUUUUUUUUUGCGGAUUCACAGAUUUCUGCGGAUUUACAGAAGUAAAUCCAUAUCCAAUCCAUCGACUGCGGAUUUUUAAAUUUUCAAUCCAUAUCCAAUCCACCAAUCCACGGAUCAGAUUUAUACGGAUCAGACGGAUUGAGCGGAUCGGAUUGGAUUCUGAACACCCCUACUACUGCAUUCAAGCAGAAGCCACCAAUUGUUCACGACGGCGUUUGAAAACAACCAACAUUUCAUCCUGAUUGGGAAGGUUUUCUUCAAUUAUAGGGACUUGCUUGAAAGUUCAAGCCACGCAUGCAAGCGAGGGAAUUUGUGUGAUACAAAUAUUUUAACUCCUACUACAUCUUCAAUGACUUGCAACCAAUAAACAAUUGAACCAAAUGCUAGGUCCACUAAGCCAAUAUUGUCUCCGUUGAAAAAUUUCUUCUCUCCCAAGCCAUGCUCUUCAACGUUUUGUAGCAUUUCCAAGGCUUCCUUCGCUGUGUUUUGUAGUUCUUGUCCAGUGCUACGAAACAUUUUCCAAAUGGCAACACCCUGCCA